Molecule: long non-coding RNA, 65867 nt
Filed under: Coffea arabica (coffee)
Lineage: Eukaryota; Viridiplantae; Streptophyta; Magnoliopsida; Gentianales; Rubiaceae
Description: long non-coding RNA (CARA_LNC004062)
Source: RNAcentral
UUUUUUUUUUUUUUUUGGCUUUUAUUUUUUUGUUGAGUCAAACAUAUUCCAAAUGACUAAACUUAACCCGACCACUUUUUUUUUUUUAUUUAAAGAUGAAGUUUGAAAACUCUGUCAAUCAUUAUGUGAUCUUUUUUUAUAUAAUUUUUUUAAGCAUUAUGUGAUCAAAACAUGGAUUAACUGGAAGGAUGCCAGUGAACUUAAUCAAGUUGAACACUAUGGUGUUGAAAUUUCUUUGUUUAUUUUAACAUGCUUAAAAUUAUAUAUGAAUUUAACUUGUUUAUUUCUAGAGUUAAAUUCAAACGAAUUUUUAUAAAGUUGAACAUAAAUUGUUUGAAUAUUUUACAUGUGAAUGUUAAAUUAAAUGCUAAUUGACAACUAGCAUUUUAUUUUGCAAUUCGGUUUUCAUUUUUCUUUUAUGAAAUUUUGUCCAACCUAACAUUCACAUGAUCUAUCGUGUACAUAUACAUAUUAACAAUUAUUACUCUCCCUUGCAUUUAUAUACUUUCCCUAUUUAAUCUUACCUAAUAUACUUUUUCUAUUUAAUCUUACCUACCCCUUUGUAUUUAGUUACUUUCUCUAAUUAAUCUUACAUUUUAAAAAAUAUGACGCAUAACAUAUAUUUUAACAAGUACCCAUAGGGCACCCUUUAGAUAAACUCUUCAUUUUUAUCGAGUAAGUAAAAAAUAUUCCAAAUGAGUAGACUUAACUCGACCACUUUUUGCUGAUUUAACGAUGAGUUUGAAAACUCUGUCAUGCAUUAUAUGAUCAAAUCAUGGACGAACAGAAGGACUGUGACUGACCUAAUCAAGUUAAAUAUUUUGAUGCUUAAACUUAUUUGUUUAUUUUAAAGUGUUUAACAUUAUGUAUUGAUGUAAGAGAAGUAAAAAAAAUGAAAAAUAAAAGUUGAUUACUGGAAGAGAAAAAAUGAAGGAACGAAUAAACAAGGAGAAAAUAAAACAAUGUACAGUAAUAAGGGUAGUUUUGUCCUAAAAUAUCAAGUAAGGGCAAAGUUCCCGUUUGAUGAGUUUAGGGGGUAAAGUGCAAUUGAGGGUAAAAUUUAGGGGGGGGGGGGUUCAGUGCCUUUAACUAGAAUUAAAAAGAAGAAAAAGAGAAAUCAAAGAGGUUAUUGCUAGGAGUUAAAGUGAAAAAAAUUAGAGAAGAAAAUUGAACUGUACAAAACCAAAACUUAAGGAAGGAGGAGGGGGGGGGGGGAUUAAGUGUUCCAAUUCCAUGUCAAAAUUCAAUGUAAUAUUCCAUCCAAUUACGCGUUCCUAAAGAAUCCUAAACACCCUCGUAAAAGUUGUUUAACAGACUUUUACUAUUUAAAUACAGGAUUUGUAACCUAACCUGGCAUUAAUGAUUUUUUUUUUCUCUGUACGCUUCAUACUUUUAUUGAUAAGCUGAUAAGUUUACACGAAGAUUGGGAGCUCCCCAUACCAAUUUAUAUCACAGAUUGAAUGGUAAUCCAAACCUGACAUUAAUGCUGCUAAUAAACAAGUAAUUCUUCGGUUGCUAAUAACAAUGAAGUAGUUCUUCUGUUUAGCCAAUAGCCUCUUGGGCUCUUGGUACCACCAAAAUAUUUAAGUUUUGGUGGGGGUGGGAAGUCAUCCGAUAGGAAAAUCUCGUCGGCUUCUCCUUCCUUUAAACUAAAUUAAAGUAGGUUAUACAAAUAUUAUUGUUGCGAUAAAAAAAGACUCUCUAAUCGAGUAAUUGUUCACUUCCCAAGCUCAAAAAAAAAAAGGAUGAUGACAAUUGUGGAGGCAGCUCAUUGCAAAGAAGGGAUUCAAGAAUUUCUAUCGUAUAGCGUCAAAACCCUCAACGAAAAUCAGAAAUCCGUCAAACAAUUUCUAUCAAACACUGUCAACAAUCUUUCAGGUUCUCGCCUACAGACAACUUCCCUUGUGAUCCAGCUGCAGCGGAUGAGGAAGAUGAAGAUGAUGAUAUAUGGUAUUUUAUAGAUUACAAUCAAAAAGAAGUUGAGAAUGAUACUUGGAAUGGUUACAGGAAGGUGGAAGUAGAUGAGAGACUGUCUUCUUUAGAUUAUAUUACAGAGGAAACCGAGGACAUCCACAAUUACCUGCUCGGCCUUGAGAAUGGAGGAUCAAUGUGCUAUUUGUCUAGAUGGUUUUGUUGAAGUUGAUCAUGAAGAUAAUAUGUUAUCAAUAUUAAGUGUUACUUUUUUGUUUUAAAGGAAUGCUAUUCAUAAUCAGUAUAAUGAUUUUGCCUCUCAUGUAAAAGAAUUCAGAUUAAUCUUUCCCUUCAAUAUGAUAGAUUCGAAACUUUUUUGUAGUGUUGAAUAGAAAUAGCUGGAUAGGUUAAUGUUCUACUUGUAUGUACAUACCCUAAUUUUAGUUUUAACUCAAUUGAUUUUGCCUUUUAUCUAUUUUGUAACCUUUAGGAAUUUUUAUUUGCUUGAAUACUAAUAUUUUGGUCCAUCAUGGGGCUUUGCCAACUCAACUUAGUGAAGUGAAGAUUGUCAUCUCAUUGUGGGGACGAUGGAAUUUGAAAAAAUAACUUGAGAAUCAAAAUAAAGAUAUCUAUCUUUGCCCCAUAAAAUAGUUCAAAGACAAGAACUGAAAAUGAAUUAUAACAUCGUCAAGAACUUGAUUCAUAUUCUUUUACCCAAAACGAUCUUAUUCAUUUGUAAACUGUCUCUUCGAACUUUUACAAGAUUAUUUUUCUCUUGAAUAUUCAUUAUUCAGUCCUCCACAAUAAUCAACGGUUCAAAGCUGUGCAUUGCAUGCGAUUAGGCCCGCCAACAGGUCAAGUUUGGGUCGAAAUCAUUAUUCCGACCGAACCCGUCAUGCUAUACCGGAUCCGAAUUCGGUCCGCAGGUCUUCUACUCUAUAUCUUUGAACCGGGUCCGACGGGUCUCGGAUCCGAGUUGAGUCUACCUGGGAAUUCGGGCUAUUAUAUUCAUAAAUAUAUAUUGGAUAAUAGUCAUACUGAAAAUUGAAGUAAAUCUGGGUAUUAUAUUAAUAAAUAUAUAUAUUAAAUUAUUAAUUCAUUUAUAUUUGGAUUUGGGUUGAAAUACUAUAUUCCACAUCCGAUCUACAUUUUUGUUUGAAAAAACGAAUCUGAAUCCAAAGAACGAAAUUAUAUCCCUACUCGUACUCGAAAUAAUUUGACGGAUCCGGUCUAGGUCUUGAUCCAGACCCGGACCGUUGACAGGCGUACAUGCCAUAGUUCUCUAACAAUUUUGAGGCAGCCUAAACAAUUGUUUAGGGGUUCUCGGAGAUAUGGCAUCCAAGUAAGCUUAUUUAAUUUUUUUUUUGCCUGGCCUACAAACAAAUGGCAUACAAAAUGCAAUUUUGAGCCAAAUUAAUUCUUUAAUUAAGGUUAAUUUCUUAUAGUUGUUUAAGAAAUAAUUCUACAAAAAGAGCUGUUUGGUCUAAUUAUCUCUCAUUGAGUUGGUAAGGUCAUUAAUCUCAAAAAAAAAAAAAAAAAAAAAAGAGAGAAAGUGUCUUAUAAGAUCAUGAUUUACCACUUAUUGCUUAAUUCAGUUAUGUAUUAUAAAGUUUGGAGAUUCACCAACCAAAAAUUUACCACAAAAAUUAUUUAUUUAUUUAUUGUACGAAAAUUUAUUUAUUUUUUUAAUUCAUAUUUUUGAAUUAGAAUUAUACCUUCUUUUUAGUUUGUAAAUUUAGCGCCUCCCCCUCCUCCCCCCCCUAGCUUUAUUAUAAUUGGCUCCAUGACUGCAAAUUUCAUUUUGUGCAAAACUUAUAUAUUUAGGCUCCUAAAUAUCAACCGGUUUAAAUUGUUGAAAAAGUACAACACCGUACUUGAUGUCAAUGUUAUUACCCUCAACAUUUCUUAAGGAUUAUUGGAGUCCCAAUAUUAUCAAUCAACAUUCAAUUAGGAAACACUCCGAAUCCUCCUAUGAAUCGGUGGGAAACAGUAACGUGCUAUACGUGUAUUAUAAAUAUAUUAGACUACUACAAGGCAAAAAACUCCGUACCUAUUUCCCUUUUCUGUUGAAGGAAAGAGCCAAGAGCAAUGGCGGUGCUGGAGAGAGUUGAAUGUUGUAACGUGCGUCUCUUCAGGUGGAAUGAAAAUCUUUUCAAGAACAAAAAAGUAUCAGAUUCUCAAGGUCUAGCCCUGUUUGUUAUCACAACCGUUUUGGAAAACUCCAAAAGCUAUGGAUUACCUAAAAAUCAUCGUCAUGAAUGUAUUGUCUCUUUCAAUCUCCCGGACCUAUUCGCCCGAGACAAGAAUUUAGGACUGAAACUCGUACAGGCUACUCAACAAUUUUCAUCGUCGGAAGACACUUGCAAAACUCUUGGAGACUCGAUUUCGGGUUUCUUGUUUACACGUUUCGACUUUGAUGAUGAUCCCCAAGCCAAGAUUCAACCGGAUUCUCCUAAGACAGUCAUUGUUGUUGAAGUUUCGCGUUCUUGGUUCGUUCUUUCGGACGGCACGCGUCGUUCUAAAGUUGCAAUCUCCCGGCUUUUGCCUCCGCCUACGAUGAUUCCCCCUCCUCGAGGGACUUCAGAGGAUGGAAACGAGGACAAGGACGACAUAGCUGAUCAUGAGGGAGUCGAGAAGAAUUCGUUUCUACGCUGCUUAAGGGACUGUUUAGGUGUGAGGAUGGGAAGGCAGGGGAGGAUGGGAAAAUCCCUUACUCGGGAUGACCCUGGAAGAGGAGGUUUUGUGGAAAUUUCGCCGGCCGUAGUCGGGAGAAAACGGAAGUGGGAGGAUUUUGACAAAUCAGUGGAUACUUGCGCCAUUUGUUUAGAGGGCUUUGUUGGAGUGGUGGACGAGAAAAUUUCCAUUACCAGUUGUUCUCACGUUUUCCACAAGAAUUGUAUAUUAAGAUGGCUGAUGUUCAACAGCAAUUCUUGUCCAACCUGUAGACUUGUGCUGCCUCUGGGCUUUAAUAUGAUGAAGAUGAAUUAAGAACUUGUACUAGUACUACUGAUCUACACAGCUUUAUAGUUAAGUUUAGCAGUCUAAUUUUAACACUUUCUUUUAGUUAAUUCUCUCAUUUGUAUUGAUUUUGGGAUUAUGUAUUAUGGAUUCGGAGUUUCACACGUUGAAUUCUACCUAGUUCAAAGCGAUUGAUAUAGUUUUUACAAUAUUUUAUGUAAACUUAUGCAAUGCGAGCGUAAACUUGUACAAUUCAGAGUCACAUUCUAUAUUUUAAGAGCCACGGAUGAUGAGAGUGACGCUGAAAUCAAUUGUCCAACGAGGUUGGGGAUAAGAUGAUACUGUGAUAAUUGGAUAUGGAUUCUGUAAAGGCUAAAACAUCAGUAACGUUAGUAGCUGCUCAUAAGAUUCUGUUGAGCGGAGUUAUGUUGAUGAUUUUCACAAAAGAAACCAACUUCUUCUGACAUGCAAACCAGCCACCAGCCCAGAAAAAUCACCAGUAGAUUGUUAGGCAGAAAUAGAAUAGCUCAUUAUUCUCUUACAGAAAUGACCUUCUGAAUACUGGGGGGAGGGGGGUGUGUGGGGUGUUAUUCAUGAAUGCAUUAAAUUGUUAUUCGCAGUUAUCUUUCCAGCACAAACUAUCAUUCUCACCUCACUUCUGCACAUUUUCAGGCAGGACCAAUAUUACAAUCCCAUUAGCAUGAUGUAAUUAUAGUGCUUCAAUAUAUUCAGUACAUGUAUGUAUAAUGGUGAAAAACAAAAAAAAAAAAAAAAUCGUACUUCUCUUCUCUCAUAAAAAAAAUUAGAAAUAAAUAAUUUUCUUAUUGCAAAUGUAAUCUAAUCAAAGAAAAUUCUAAAACUUAGGCCCCAUACAGUUUGUGUGAGACUUUGUGCCAAAUAGAUGGUUAAAAAUAAUUAACCAAAAUGAUGUAACUGAAAAAUGCCAGGACCAACUUGGUGCAUUGCUAGUGGUAAGGAAAAUUUUAUCUUUUUUUUUUUUUUUAAGCAAGAAACCAUUCCAAUGAUUUGCAAUUAUGUAUGUUAACAAUGCAAUUUGAUAACUAGUGGUACAUGAGUUUCAAGAACACAUUUAAUCAGCUCAUUAUAACGUCUGUCUUCCCCUAACUUUUAUAGGACAAAGAAUUUAAAAAUGAAAUUACUAGUGUAUGAAGUGUAGGAGCUCAAAAUGACAAUGAAUAUAUUAAUCACCAAUUUUUAUAAGACAAAGCUUUUGAAGAAAAGAAAAAAUUACUAGGAUUAAUUGUCAAAUAUUCAAACAAAAUGCCUAAAAAAAUAUGCACACAAAACAGAAGAUGCUAUAAUUACUGGAAAUCCAAUUUUAAAACCAAAAGUGCAACUCCCAUUAAUUAAGUCCCAAGAUAAAAGGUUAAAAUUCCUUUUCUUGUACACAAAAUAAAAAGGUUAAAGAUCCUUCAACAUCCAUUAUCCUGUUUUCCUGCCUCCCAGACUCUCAGUUUUCCACAGGCCCACAACCAUGGCUUCUACUAAGCUUAUAGCCCCUCUUCACGUCUCCUUUUACAACCCCAUUUCAAAAUUCUCUUGGUCCAACAGUAAAGACACUGUCUUUCCUUCAAAACCACUCACCAUAGUUUCUGCCAAUAAAGCAAAAAGGAGGGGAAAAUUGAGGUACCCAUCUGAGAAAAAGAAGCUAAAACUCCAAAGACAAUACGAAAUCGAUGAAAGAAACAAACUUGAAGGUGUUUGGAGGCUUUUCAAGCUUGAAGUCUCGGUUGAUAAAGACCCUGGAAAAGAUUUUCUUGGUGUUUCGGAUGCUUUGCUUGAAGAAAUUGCUAAAGUUCUCAAAUUUCCGGUAUAUGGUUUUUGGAUUCUUUAACCCUUUUGAAAUUGAAUCUGAUUGUUUCCCUUUUCGUUCUUUUGUAGCAUUUAUGGUGCAAAGUUUUAACUCUCAUUAGCUACUCAGUUUCUAUUUUUUUUUAAGUGGUGUAAACUUUGACAUAUUAUGCUUUUUAGUUUCAAUUUUAGAUUUUGCGUUCUGGAUUUUUCUCAUUGCUAAAAUCUAAAAAAUAAAAUAAGAAAUUAUAUUUUGGAAUUCUAUGCCUAUAGUUUAAGCUGCUGUAUACUUCUCGGAAAUGUCCAAGUAGUGAGUGGUUUGAAGUUGUUUUCAUGAUUGCAGGUUGCUUCAAUGUUGCCACCAGAGGCUUUCACAGUUCUUAGAAAGUCUUUUGAUGCUCGAAAGGUUUGUACAUUGCAGGCCUUAUUUGUUCUCUUCCUUUUGUAUUUGGAAUAUAUUGGCUUAUUUUGAAAUGGAAUUCCGUUGCUAUAGAGAUAUGCAUUGAGCUGCUUAGAAUAUAAGUUCAUUGCUCUAAAAAGACUGAUUUCUCUUUUUGUAUCAAUAUCUCAGUAUUGCCAAGUCUUAACACCAAUGCCUACAUGCACCACACAACAUAAAGAAGAACACUGUCUUUUCAAUUGGUCUGUAUUUAUCAUCGAUGGUUUAGAAAUUGGCCAACUAUGACUUUUUGAGCUAGAGCUGCAUGAUGAACAGAAUGGUCCUUCUUCUUGCGCUUUUAUCUCUGCUUGUUGUUGGCAAUCUCAUUGUAUUACACUCACAAAAUUUUCUAAUUUGUUCACAAUUGUUUGCUGCAUUUCACCUAAUAUAUUUUCAUUAAUCAAAUUUCAGAAGGAACCAAAGUUUGUGUACGCAGUGAAUAUGGAUGUCUCCAAACUUCUGAGCUCAGAGCCUCGUACUUUAGACUUUAUUUCUGAUCUGGAGCCGAAGACUGGGCUUAUAGAGCAUCUGACUGAUCAGAGAGAUUCUGGAGAUUUUGGUGAUUUAAUAAGCCUAGUUAAGAAUUGCAAAAAGAAUAAUGAAACAGAAGGUGUGGGGCCCAGAAAUCAUUAUGGGGGAUCACUAGUGUAUCCCUAUGCUCGAAAACCAAAAGUUGCAGUUGUUGGUAGUGGGCCUUCAGGCUUGUUUGCUUCUCUUGUACUUGCUGAAUUUGGAGCAGAUGUUUCAUUGAUAGAGAGAGGGCAACCAGUUGAAAGAAGGGGGCGUGACAUUGGAGCUUUGGUAGUUCGACGAAUGUUACAAGAGGAUAGCAAUUUUUGCUUUGGGGAGGUGAUCUCCUAAUCCACUUAGUACCUUCAAGAUUUUUAUUGUGUAAUGACUGUUAAUUUUGUCCUACCAACUUUCAUUUUGAUGAAUAUUGUUUGAACUUUUGUACAACCAUCUGCACAGGAAAGUUCAAAUUUCUGGUGAUUUAUUUCUUUGUGUCUUUGUUGUAAAUUUAUUUAGGACUUAUGGGUCACAGGGUGGUGCAGGUACUUGGAGUGAUGGAAAGCUAGUAACAAGAAUUGGGAAAAAUAGUUAUAGUGUUACAACAGUAAGUGUCCUCCAUCUGAGCAUUACAUGAGGUUGGUUAGUACAAAAUGAUACUUGAUCCAUUCAUGUACUUAAAUAAUCUGGCCUAAUUCCAGGUUUUGAAGACAUUGAUUCACUUUGGAGCUCCAAAAAACAUAUUGGUUCAUGGAAAACCUCAUCUGGGAACUGACAGAUUGGUUCCACUACUUCGCAAUUUCCGACAAUACCUACAAGAGUUGGGUGUAUGUUGCAUUUUAAACUUGUAGUUUUCAGAGAAAUUUGCUGUUAAUCUUUUCAAUUUUUGUCACUCUAUUAAUCUUGUCUCUUGAACAUAUCUAUCUAGGUCAUUGUUAAGUUUGGAACCAGGCUGGAUGAUCUGCUUGUGGAAGGUGCACAUGUUGUGGGUAUCAGUGUUUCUGAUUCAAUAGGCAACCUGGAGUCCACUAGCCUGAAGUUAGGAUUCGAUGCAGUAGUUAUUGCUGUUGGGCAUUCUGCACGUGAUACCUAUCAAAUGCUUCUUUCUCAUAACGUGGACAUGGUUCAAAAAGAUUUUGCUGUGAGUUUUUCUUUAUCUCAGCUUGCAGAUAGAAAUUUUCUUUUCUUCCUCCUGGUACUAUAUUCUUGGGUAUAGGAUUUGAGUUUGCCUCCAAAUUUUGCUGUCAUAAUAUAUACCUGCCUCAUAUUCCUGUAUUCUAUUUUAUGCUCUAAAGUUUCCUCCACUUCCUGAGGGUUUUUUUUUUGGUUGUUUGGGGGGGGGGGUGUUGGGAGAACCUUGGCAAAGAUGGGAUGCAGGGAGUCAGGCAACAAGCUCUGAAGCUGUUGAUGUGUGUGAGUUGCCAAUGUUUCCAUGCUCUUAAAAGGAGCUGACCAUUUAUUUAUCUCUUCAGAUAUAGAAGACAUUAAUCAACAAUUUAUUCGCCUCUUGAGUUUAUGCAGAUGAUUAUCACUCAUACCGCUGAUAAAUUUAAAUGGGAUCUAGUCGUUUAUCAAAUAAAAAAAGUUGCUCUUUGUUUAUAUGCUCAUAUGUCUUCAACAGUUACCUGGGUUUACACAGAAAGAGUGACGCCCAAAAGAGUGUAUUCAGACCUCCCAGUAUAAUAUGCUUAAGGUGGUUGUGGUAUUUGGUUGUUUUGUCUGCGGAUAUAUUUUGUACGUGUCAUAUGUACGCUUACAUGUGGAUCUAAGGGAAGGAAAUGUAACAGUGAGGAUGUAUAAACUCUACAUUUAACCAGGAUGAUGAAAUGUGGUUAACGGAUAAGACGUUACCAACUGAGAAGGGGAGAAAAUUAUGAAGUCAUCUAAUUUAUUAUGCCUAAGCUUCUAGACCAUCAUUGGCAUUAAGUUUCUGUGAUUGGGCCUUAGAGUACAGUAAUAUAUGCUUUAUAAAGCUUUAAAGGGCUUAGGAUUGUUCUGCUGAUAUCAAAUUCAUAUAGUAUGUCACAUGUUGGUAUAAACAAUUAGCAUAUUUAGAUAUAGGCCUUUCCUUCUGCAAUGAGAGAAUCAUGAAUUCUUCCUUCACCAUCGUAACUUGUGUUAGGAUUAGUUUUAUGUAAUCUUGGAUGUAUAUGUCCUAGCAAAUUGAUCUUCUUUUUCUGUAUCUACUCAUGGUUAUCACAGGUAGGUUUGCGGGUUGAGCAUCCUCAAGAAUUAAUAAACAGUAUACAGGUGAGUAAUAUAGCUGUGUUUUUUGGACGUAUAGCAUCUUUGAGACUACUAGUCUUUUGCUUGUGUAAAUUAUGAUUUUAAGGGGUGAUUUACGAUUUUGAGUUUUAGGACUGACAAAUUCAACCUGUUGGAUCAUUGGAGUGCAUGAGCUGUACUUCAAGAUCCUCCUUUUGUUCAAGACUUUUGUGAUGGUGUGACUUCAUUAGAUUCAAGUAGAUAUUGGAUAACAAUUUGGUGUGAUAGGUGUCUUUAUCAAGAUGUUCUGGUUCACUUGGUCGUCUAUAAGAGAGUUCCUCACCCGCUAAACAGUUCUGAAGCACACUGUACAUUCCCAGUACUACACUAGAAAAAGCAUGAAACAUUAGAUUGUUGGUUACUUAGAGUUCUGUGUCCCAUGUAGAUGCAUUUUCCCAUAUCGGUUGUUUGGUGGUUCAGGAAAGAUAACUAUAUGAAAGAAUCCAUGUUUUGUUUAAUAUGUAGUUGGCACUUUGACUCCUGUUUUCAUUGGCUAAUGUUUUGCUGCUUUGACUUUGGGGAUCCACUUAGCUUUUAGCUCUUCUUGUCAAUUUUUCAAUUUUUAUAUGCUAUGCUACUAUUUGCUUUUUACUCUGGUUUUCAUUAAAUAUCAUGUUGUACAAGGGUGCAGUACUCUGAAUUGGCGAAUGAAGUUCAGAGUGGAAAAGGCAAAGUACCAGUUGCAGAUUACAAGGUUGCUGCAUAUGUGAGUGGAGAAUAUGAAGAUGCACCCUUAAGUUUAGGAUCAACAAACCGUAGCUGCUACUCCUUCUGCAUGUGUCCUGGAGGUCAGGUACGUAUUCAUUUUUCUUCUCUCUUAUUGAAUGAAGUGUCUGAUGUAGUACUCUUGUUGCCCAGUCGAAGUCUUUGCAACUUUCGAAGUUUUCUUGAAUAGUUGUGACUUUCUUUCUUCUCAAAGCACUGAAUUCCAUCUUUUUGUCAAUAUAUAUGGGUUUUUUCCCUUUAAUUUGUUCUUCCCGAAGACUCCUUUCACAAUUAGUUUUUGCAAGAAAGGAAAGAUGAAACUGAGAUUGAUGGGUGCAGCAUUUCUAGAAAUCAGAUUCAAGUUUAUUAUCUGGAAGUAGAGAUGUGUUGUGCAAUAUUUGCUGCAUAGUUUAAAUAUAUGACAAAGAACUUUUUGUUUAGGGCCUAAACAGCACAUAAAACUAAUCACAUUAGAAGAUUCACUUGCAAGGUUUUUGCAGGUGGUCCUCACUAGUACUGAUCCAUCAGAACUUUGUAUCAAUGGCAUGUCUUUCUCUCGACGUUCAUCUAGGUGGGCAAACGCUGCGCUUGUUGUCUCUGUAUCAUCAAAAGAUUUUGAUGCUCUAAAUUUGCAUGGACCACUUGCUGGUGUUGAAUUUCAGGUGCCUGUAUUCUUUCACCUUGUUUUGGCAAAACUUCUCUUCUAAUGCAUUUUUACAUCAUUGAAUAAACGAUGCUGCAAGUUUUUGUUGGAUAAGCAUUGAUGAAAUAAGGAAAGGUUAUUAUGUUGGACGGAAAAGCAUUUCUGGGGUCUUGGUUUUCUUAUUCUUUUUGUGUAAAAUUAGUGAAUGUUAGGUCUUUGUGGCAUCCUUUCCAAUUUGUACUAAACCUUUUUCUUAGAAUUGACAGUAUAAUUUCAUGUUCCUUAAAUUCCUUGUCACGUUGCAUUUGAUUUUGGAUCGACUAUCUUCUCUUUCUGUUCAGAGGGAAUUUGAAAGAAAAGCAGCUAUAAUGGGAGGUGGAAAUUUUGUGGUGCCUGUUCAAACAGUUACCGAUUUUCUAAAUAGCAAGUUGCCAGGUAAAUCUUCACUUUAGAUCCUCGUUCUGAAAAGUUGUAUGAAGAUAUCAUCACCUAGUUUUCAUAUUUCUCUCCUUCAAUUGCAGUAAAAUGCAUACCAUCAUCAAGUUAUCGUUUAGGAGUGAAAGCAACCAGUCUUCAUGAACUAUAUCCUCCACACAUAACAGAGGCUUUGCGGCAUUCAAUUCUGAUGUUUGAGAAAGAGGUUUUCUGCCAUUCUAGUUUGCUCUUUUUACACCUUAUCCUUUUCCUAAUAUUUCUUCUAGCCAUGAUGUUCUUCUCUCAUACUGUUUAGAUGUUUUAAACAAUAUCUCAAUAUAAUUAUUUCAUAAACCCGAAUUCGCAGCUACCAGGAUUUAUCUCCAACAGUGCGCUUCUCCAUGGAGUGGAGGUACUAAUUGAUUUGCUUCGUUUAAUAUACUGUUAAUUGAAACGUUCUCGCUAAAUCUAAUGAUUCAGAAACUGGAACCUUGACUUGAAAGCUAGACAUCUGUCCAUCGUCGUUGCAUUGUUUUUUUUAUGUUUUUCCUAGAUGGUUUGGAUUUUUGCCAGAAUUGUGUAUUUCUAUUAAUUUUUAAAAUAUUUUGAGUCGUACAUUAAAGUUUAUUGUAUUGGCCCCAGACAAGAACCAGUUCUCCUGUCAGGAUAUUACGAAACUCUGAUACUCACGAGAGUACAUCGCUGAAGGGGCUAUAUCCUGUUGGUGAAGGAGCAGGUUAUGCUGGUGGAAUUGUUAGUGCAGCUGUGGAUGGUGUGUAUGCUGGUUUUUCAUUAGCAAAAAGUUUAGGCCUUUACAGGGGAGGUAUAGAAGAUGUGCUGGGCAAGGAUCAAAAUGUUGGCUUCUUUAAAUACUGAGGCCAUGUUUCUGUUGAGGAGUAUCGAGCGAUUAGUUUUGAGUACAAGGAGCUUAUAUACAUUGUUGAGGACUAGAACAAACCACUUCAACAAUUUUGUAGACAGUCAACCUGCGAAAAUGUGUACAUGAUACAUAUAAGCUACUUUUAACCCCCAGUUGUAAUUGCUUUUUCAUAAUAUAAUUGCUUCUUCAUUCAUUCUUAAUUGUGUAAUAAUCGGUGGUAGAUGAUGGUCGGUGACCCAGAUUAUGGCGAAUUUUUGCAGUUUUAGCUAGUUUUGUAGUUUUCCAUGGUAAUUACUUCGUUGUCAUGUUGACUUAUAUUUGUCAAAUUUUAGCUUUGUGUUAGGUUUUUUAUGCAUAUUUUUAGUUAUUUUUCUUAGCAAAUGAUUGGGUAUGUCCGGAUUGGAUUUUCUAUAGAGGUGUCUGUUAUAAACUUUAUUGGACGAGCGUCUUGAGGGUACUCAACAGAUCACUCCAUCCCUCUUUCCACCAUCCGCCACCCCACCCUGGAAAGCUCCCCGGCACCCUCCUCCUUCCCUACCACAACCAUGCAGCCUCCCUCUCUUGCCCCCUCCACCCUAAGUUUUGAAGGUCCGACCUAAUUCUUCUGGGCCGGUCUUGAUGCAGAAUUUUUAGUAGGUUGUUGGACAAAAUAUGAUUCUACAAAAAUGGUAUAUAUAUAUAUAUAUAUAUAUAUAUAUAUAUAUAUAUAUGUAUAGGGUCUGGUCCAUUACUGUGUAAUUGCAUCAUACAGGGAUAUGUUUAUUUGGGUAAGCUCCGUUCUCUUGGGCUAAAACAGUAGAAUGAAAGCAAAGCAUCCCAAGAUUAAACCUAACACAGGCUGGCCGAAAUACUAAAUCAAAGUACGUGCUUGCUCCAGUCGAGUGUACUAGUUUCCUGCUGACACCCUUGGCAUUUCUCCUCGCUUGCAGUCACCAUCAUUUUGCCUAUCUCCCACAGCGAACGGCUAGAUACACAAUUCGAACCCUAAAAUUGACAGUAGAAAAUAUUUUAAGAGUUCUCUUCUAACCAUUGGACGACCUCGAAGGUUACUUGCAAUCACUACUUGACAUGCAGAAGAGUAAUAUUAGUUUAUGUAGCUACGAAAAUUUUCAAAUUUUCGAAGGAAGAUUUCCGAAAUUCUUAUAGGCUACAUUGUCUUGAUAGUAAGCAGCAGUUGCUCAAGUUAAAUCAAUGUUCAGAAUAUGAAAUACACGGUCGCAGUAUUAUAAUUGCGUUUUCCCAUCAUCUCAUAAUUGUUAUAAGAUCAUAUGAUCCUUUAAUGUUACCUAAUGAGUACUUAAUGGCUUCUCAAAAUCUUGCAGUCAUUAUUAAGAUUGUAACAACAAGAAGAUUGAAAGAUGAUGUUACCUUGUAUAUAUGGCUUUCAAGGUUUCACACACUACCAAUGAUAAGAAGAUUUUUCUUAGUCAAUGCAUCCACGGCUUUUGACAAGGAAAAAUCAAGGAAUUAAUUACAAAAAGUAAUAGCCAAAAUUUUACUUAGGAACAGCAACCACACAAAACCUUACAAAGUGCACAACUGAGAUUUGAAAUGCAACAAAUCUGCACCCACAAAAGUAUCUUGUUUCCAAGAUUAACAUUCUUCUUCCAAAGAAUCUAAGCCCCACUUGAUGAAGCAGGACAGAGUUUUAUGACUACUCAUUAGUUGCUUUAUUCUGUAGUGAACAUGUAGCAGGCAUGGGGGUGAUGCUGAUAAUGAUAUUGAUUUAUACUAAUUGGUUUGGUCCCCAUUGAGCAUAACUAUCAAGCACAUGAGUGCCCAUCAUUUGCUUCUUUCUUUAGCUACCUACUGCAACAUUUUUUAUGCAAAGCAAAGUGUGGCUACAACAUGCUUGCAUGUAUCAUUUACUAAAACUAGUGAUAGUAUGAAACUUUAUCCGCUGUGUUUUCUUACACCAAUUCUUUCUUUAAUUAUCCAGUGAGCUAAGGAAGUGAGGAAAUCCAUCUAUACUUGUUUAGUCUUCAUGUUUUUCAUUUUUUUUUUGGGCUAAAUGUGCAACUCAUACAGAAUUCAGCCCAAACAUGUACUCUUGCUGUACUUUCAUUGAUGGUUUCUGCUCUUGAGUUUUUGGCUUUAGGUUUCUUUGUCAGUAAAUUGGUAUCGUAUUUUAGCUGAUGAUUUAUCCACAUGAUCAUUUUUUAUUUGGUUUCUUCCACAAACCAAAGCAUUUAACUUCAUAAAUUUACCUAGCAUCCUCUUACUCGGUCAUCCUAGAAGUAUUAGGAAAAUGAUAGUACAAUUCUCCAUGAGGAUGGAUUUCGGAAACCCCCCCCCCCCCACGUUCUGUGAGUAUUUGAACAGUUUAUGAUCAUCAAGAUCCUUUCCCAUUAAUUAUUGUUGUGGAGAAUACUUGAUUCCUUUCUUUCCCUCAAACACUAAAUCUCACGAUAGUCCAAGUGGAAUAUGAUUUGUUUUCAUGCUUGUCCUUGCCAAGAGAUAAUUGUUGGGAUUUGUUCACUUGGUGUUAUUUCUUAAAGCAAUUCACUUGAGCUCACAAAAAAAGUUUUCUAUGCAGAUGUUGAGAUUUGAGAGACAAUAUAUAGAAAGUUUCACCAUAAGCAGUCGAUAUUAUAUAUAUAUAAUUUCUUUGAAUCAAUCAGUCUUCUUUUGGUUAUGCAACUACAAUUAAUUUGUGGAUGAUGGAUUGCUUGACUAGAAAUUCCAAGAAAACUCUUCUAUAUGUUAUGUACUCUAUAAACAUGCUCAUGUCAUAAGUAGAUAAGAAAUACAGGCAACUUCUAUAGUUUUGUGACUUGUAAUUGGUUUUGUUCAAGUGGUUAAAGUCGAGGUACACUAUUUUGGUAGGUAGAUUAUCUAAUAAUCUUUUUUAACGAGUACUCAAUGACAACAGAUUUGUUGCGUUCACAUUUAUGAUUCGGAUUCCUCUUAUAUUUACCUACUCUCAUAACCUAAUUAUUUUUAUUUAAAAAAAAAAUUCUAGUAGAGAAGAGUGAAACUUAAGAAGCCAGGAGGAAACAGAGAGAUUUGAAUCCAGAACCUUUAAUUCCUAAUAUCAUAAUUUAAUUAUACUUUCAUAAAAAAAAAAUUAAUCUUCAACCCCUCUAAACAGCCCCUGCAAACCCAUCUUCCAAGUAAUUUACAUGACAAUUCAUACUGUCUGUCGAAAAGAUAAGCCUACCGACACCCUAAUUUCUAUGCAAGUGUAUAAUUUACUUAGUUGAAUUACUAAGCUGGAAUUCUUAUAUAGUCAACUUCGCAAUCAACAAGAGAGAAACAAACCACCUUUCAAUUAAAUUCAAAAACAUGUAGGCUAAGCAAGUCCAGGAAAAGAAACAUAUCUAACUAGAAACAUCCAUACUCAAGAAGUAGACAAAGAUACACUUGAGAAGAUGUAGACAACACUUGUAGGCCUAAUGAGAAUUGAGAUCUAGAAACCUUGGGACAAAGUACCCGGGCCCUUGGAAAUAUUGAGAUCCCUAGCAAUAGAUGCGUCUGCUUCACCAUCAUUUUCACUCAAGCCACGAAAGCAUCCCUAGCUAUUUGGAUUUAUCUAUAUAUGCAAUGCAACUUAGAAGAAUCAAAAUGUAAAUUGCCUAUAUCAUUCUUUAUCAUUCUGCCUCACCAAAAAGUUGGGAACCAUUUCAACUGCAGUUAAAGAUUUUUUUUUUUAAAAAAAACUCAUAUUUUUGAGUUGCAUUGGGUCUUUUAUUUGUACUUUUUUUGAUGUUCAUGUUUUAAAGUGACAAUUAUUUCAUCGCCGUAGACACGUUGAAUUUAUAUAAAGGGACAAGUAUCACUUUAAAAUACAAUGUAACAUGAGUGUAACAUCAAAUAGAGGAUUCAAAGUCACUUUUGAGGUGAAAUUCCAUAAAGUAAUGAAAAAUAAGUCACCCGUAUCUUAGGUAUUUCAAUUUUCGUGACCCUACAAGCCCAAAAAUAUAUAUUUGAAACAUGAAACCCUCGUUAGUGAUAGUCAUUAUUUGAAUACUUAUCGAUUUAAACAUUUUUUACGACGUAUGUUUACCGAUAUUAAUAACUUUAGAAAACAUAAUUGGUGGCUUUGGAUUCUUUAAUAUACUUUUGGAUUUUACAUUUACACUACACCAUGUUUUAGGUAAAUUUUCUUCAUAUCAGUUCUUUAUACUUCAUUUAAAUAAAGGGACUAUUGUGGACACUGCUAGGUUGGAAAACUACGUUUUGCAGCAGAUGAUGGUUAUACCAAAUAUGACAUAUUAGUGCAUUAAUAUUCUCCCUUUAUUGGCCCUCCUCUGACAUAAAAAAGACGCAAGAAAACUUUUUGAUUCUGAUCAUUAACGUAUUGAAAUAUUCAACAAAAAGGUGAAGUUGUAAACUGCCGCAACAAACUGUGGGUCUCAACACAUAAUGAGAAGAGCUUGACGUUGGGUCUCCUUCAGCUAUUGUAUGGAUGGAAAGAGCCUCAAAACCUAAAAUGUUGUAAUAUAUAUAUAUAUAUGUAUGUAUGUAUUGUAUACACAUUCAUUAAUGUGGGACACUAUUUUGUUUGACAUAACAUAGGAACUAAAAAUCACAAGGCUUCGAACCAGCAGCACAAGUGGUAGUGGCAUGGGCUGCCCCUCCACCAAAAGAAGAAAAGAAAAACUAAAAUUCAUGGAAAGCACUAAGGCUACGUCUGAAUGAUAGUUGUGUGGUAAAGUGGAGUGCAAGAAAGGGAAGUGAAGGAAAAAUUAAAAUUAGUUUUUCAUACAAGUUUAUUUACCACUAUCUAAAUGAAUUUAAAACAAAAAAAAUUAAAUAUCGUUCAAAAAGUGUUAAAAUCUAACUCAGUUGGAUAAAGAUAUUAGCUAUAGCUAACCGUGAAACUCUUGAAUCGACUAUCUAACUUUUUCCCUUUCACUCCCUUUACUAAGGCUUAGGUUCCGUUUGAUAAAACUGAAUAUGAAUUCUGAAUUCUGAAAUCUGAAUACUGAAACAAUUAAUUUGUUCAAUUUUAAGCACUGAAAAAAAUAUAUGAAUGUCUGAAUUUUAAUGUUAAAUCUAUUUAUACUAUUUGAUAAAUAUUUAUAACUGAAUGCUUAAUAAGUUUAAUUUGACAAAUUUGCCCUUAUAUCCUUUCAUUCUAAAAAAGGAAUAGAAUCUAUGAUUUAAUUAGUUUAAAAUUGUUAGGUAUGAAAAUGACAAUAUUUAUUUUUAAAUCAAAUUAAUAUAAAAUGUGAAAUAUAUUAUAUGAGGAGUAUGGAGAAGAUGUGAAAGCCAUUAGAAAGGGAGAAAAGAGAAACUAAAAAUUGUUAGAUAGAGAAUAUUAUAUUGUUUAAUUAGAUAAGAAUUUUGAACAUAAUUAACAAACAAUGGUAGAUUUGGUAGAUAAGAUAAGGUAACUGAAGUAAUUCUAUUGAUUCUUAUCAGAAUUAAGCAUUCAGUUAGGAUUCUUGUGCUGAAAAAAAUACACACAGGUUCAGCACUUCUUAACAAAUUCAGCAAAUAGAUUUUCAUUUAUCAAACACUCAAAACAUCUGAAUGUCUGAAAAAAUUCAGAUUCAGCAUUUUUUUAUGUUAUCAAACAGACCCUUAGACUCUCAAUCGAACCAACAAGAAAAAAGAAAUUGUUCAAAGGAUCCAUUGCCAAUUGAAAGAUUUUGGAACAAUCCUUCUCCUCUUCGGGGACUAAAAUCCAGUUCUAACAAUUAGGAUUAUUAUCUGCUUAAUCGGAAGUACGUCAUAAAAUUAAAAAAAAAAAAAAGUCCAUUUUGAAGAGCAUGAAAUCCUCUGAAAAUGAGUAUUCCCAGAAGAAGUAUCCAGACGAUACUCCUCGAAAGCCACUGACGACAGAUAUUAUCAGGCUGAAAUCGACUGCCUAUAUAGUACGUAUUUAUGAAAUGAUGACCAGGAAAUUAUCAUCGUUUCUUGGCUGAAUUUUACUACAUUAAUCAUGGAAAAAAAAGGUACUUAGCUCUUACUAAGAGUAAUUAAACAUAUUAUCAAAAUUAAAAAUGCAUAGACGUCAGGUUUUAUAUUAUUUUAUCAGCCAACUGUGUUCCUAUUUAUUGUUUUAAACUAAUUUAAUAAAAGUGCUAUGAUCAUGAAGAAUCAACCACUCUACUUGAGUACUAGUGGCAAAAAUAUUCUCCAUGAGCAAUGUUUGUGAAAUUAUUGAUUGUAUUCACGGAAAAAGUUUGAGACAUAAUCAUGUGUUAAGCCAUAAAAUGCGACAAGAGGAACAUAAUAAUUAAUUCUUCUUAUAGGAAUAAAGUAUAAAGGAAAAGAUGAAGGACAUGAUCAAGGGGACUGUACCAAAUUGAUUACACAUGAUCACCAUUUUUUUGGCUAAGAAGUUCAAGCACAUGACUUUAUCCAUGGCUUUUGCAUUCUUAAUUAGCUUAAUAUAAUACCCCAUCUGCCAUUUUACGAUUACAAAAAAUUCCGUUUAGGUUUUCUUUCUUUUUCUUCUUUGUUGUGCACUGGUGUUGGCGGUGGGGGGAGGAAAAUGGCGGUUCGUAAAUUACUGUUGAUAAUCCUCCAAUUGUAUGUUAGUCAAUAAAAUGCACAUAAGGGCUGGAUUUGCUUCGACUAAAUAAUUAAAAUUUCAAUCUUUACAUAAUAAAAGUUGUUUCAAAGUGCUUUUUCAAUUUUCUUUUGUCUCGUUUAUGUAUACCUUUUGACAUCAUUAAAAUAAAAAUAGAAACAGAAACAGGAUACAGCGAUGAAAUGGAACAAGAACAUCCGGACACUCUGAGGGAGGAUUGAGUUGAAUGAUAAGGAGGGAGAGAUUUCUGAAUUCAAAACCUUUCACUUGUUAAAAAAAAAAAUGUCUAGAUACCACAAUUAUAUGUUCCAUCAUCAAGAUUUACAACUUUUUUUUCUGAAAUACCUUUUGUUCUUAGCUUGAUUUCGCUCAAAAGAAACACAAUGAUUUUGAUGUAGAUGCUUCAGUUUCCUAACAACCCUAGAGUUGUUAAACUCAGAAUAGUCCUUAUUUUGAAUGGUUUUAGUUUAGUUCUGCAAAGACUGCACCACAGUACUAAAUAAACCAGAUGUAACCUUAAAUGAGCCAAAAAAGAAGUCCCACAUUUCUACCAGAGGUCAACAGCUAUUAAAGUCUGUAAGCCAAAAGGACACCUGCAUGGACUUUUCUUUUUCUUUUUAUUUUUAAAAUUAAAACCGCGAUAGUGCACAGAUUAGGUUUUUACUCUCGUAAACAAUACAACAUGGGAGACACAGAGUUGACCAAGUCUAUUGCCCACGUUUCUGCACAGUUUCUCUGGAAUCUGCUACAGCGUAUCACUACAAAACUCCAAGUUCUUCUUGAAUAUUGACCUUAAUUGCACGAAUUAUUGCGUCGACAUGGUAUAACUUUUUGUUACCCAGAUUUGUCGUCAUUCUAUACAAGGCUUUCAAGAUUAAACGGAUUUAGUUAUCAGGAGAAAAGUAGUUAAGGCAGGCUUGGCUGGCCAUUAUUGACUAACGUAUGUAAUCUGUAGUUGGAUGCAAGAAAUUUUUUUUUUUUUUUGCGUGGAAAAAGUCUGGUGUUACAUAAAUAAAGAUGAACAGUACAUGAUGAUAUAAAGUCGAAAAGGACAACUCUUCAUGCGUCUAGUGGUGACUUCGAUUGGAUACAAUCAAAAUUACUCAAGUGGUAAUUAAAAUCAAAUUUGCUGAAUAAUUCACCCAUGAAAAGCGAUUUUAAAAAUAUGAUAUCUCUGAGCGAGCAUAGACACAAAUAUAAAAAUUUCUAAAAAUUAUAUCAUGAUAUGGAUUAUUAAAAGUAAUUUUAAAAGCAUGAUACCUCUAGGCUUAGAUAUAAAUAUAAAAAUUUUUUAAAAUCAUAUAAUAAAGUGGGCUAUCUUUUUUUUGGUAAAUUGGAACAUACCCCGAGUUAAAUUCUUUAGACUCGAACCGACACACCAAACCGAAGGCAACGUCACAGCCCCACGCAAUGUUUACUUGGACAAGUCACAAGGUGCUUCGAAGAGCAGUUUCGAUUUCGAACCUUUGUGUCCCAAAGGGUCGCUGUUAUCAUUGGACCAACCUCGUGGGGGCGCAUUCCUCACCGACGCCGGCGUCACACGAGGUCGACGAGUCCAAGGGGACGUGACGUCUCGAGACGACAACGACAGUCAUAAGCAGGCUAUCUUUUAGACGUUGUUUAAUGUAGGAUUUUCCUUUACUGAAAUACCGAAGGCAGAUUAAUUUUUCCAUUUCACAGUAUACUAGUUCUUGAUGUGUAAUGUUGGUGCAGCCCAACACCAAGUCAACUUCCAUAGGAAUUUUUCCACAUUAGUACACCUUUUUGAAAGCUGCCCGCAAGCUAUAUAGGAAUCAUGGGAUGAACAAAGAUUGCAUUAUAAAUUAAGUAGUUAUAAAAAAAAUGAUGAAGGUCAAAAAGUAUGAUCAUUGGAAUACUUAGUGUAUCGCUUUCUCGCCCUUUACAAUUGGUUUCUCCAGCUGCCUAGUCAUUCCUCCCAGAGCUCCCGCGCCAGCAGAUUAAAUUAAAGCAUGCGUUUGCUUCCUUUUCAAAGAAUUCAAAAGUUUUCCUACCAUUUUUUUAAACUAUUCUUUAGACAUCACUGACCUAGUUGUUCUUCUUUUCUAUGUGACCUGAUUGGAAUUGACAUGGAAUUUCCUGAAUAAAAGAACGAAGUUAUUGUAGAAAAAAAAAAAGAAAGUGUUUAUUAACUUUAAAGAAAUAAUGUGUAGGCAAAAGAGCAUGAAAAAUGUUGUUGAAUUGUUAUACACCAACUAUAUUCUAAUGGCCUUGGUUAUCUGUGAUGAGUAUAAUUUCAUUAAUUUCGAGCUUUAUUUUAGUUCAUAAUUAACUGUACAAAGAAAAAAAAGGAAAAAAAAAAAAACGUUUUUCCUUUACAAGUAUGAUGUCUUAUCCCUCAAAGACCCGAACGGGACCUUAGAUUUCAUCUGUAAUCAAUUGCUCCAACUCUGCCCCUCACCCAUAAAAAGGUAGAGAAAUUGAAUCAUCAAUAAAUGGAAGUUUAUCAAGUUCGCGAUAUUGCAUAAGAAGUUUUGAUUUAGUAGCUAAAAUUAAGAUCACAGGGCGUUGCGGUAAUGGAUUUAAUCUCUCUUCACUCGCUUUGCUUCUUAAAUCCCACGAAAAUUUAAAAAAAAAAAAAAAGAUUGCUAUUUGACCUUUUUUGUACAACUAGAAAAUUCAGUUAUAGUAAGAAAAUUUGUGGAGAGGGCGCUUUUUUCUCUAAUUUCAAUAUGAUAUAAAUGAGACAUUUAACUUUAUUCUUCAAGACAAACAACAGAAUGAUGCAAGUUAGACUAGGCCAUUGAGUUCAUUGCACAAGAAAUUGAAGCCACUUUAGGACCAAUCAAAUUAACCAUUGAAUUUGUUGCCUGAUCAAAAUCAUUAGCAAAAGGGAGUUAUAUAACAUGUUUGAGGAGGAAAACUUGGGUUGAAUAGGAGGGUUCUCCACUCUACAAAAGGAAGACAAUUAAAAUAACUACAUCUUCACAAACAUGUUGAUAGCCCUAUGAUAUAUUUUGAAUUUAUUUGGUAUGCAUGAAAACAUUUUAUUGUAAAAAAUUUUACACCAGAUACUUAACCAGUGUUAUAUAUAAUAUCAUCAUCCUACGGCCUAAAAAAUCUAACAAUAAUGUUUUUCAAUGCAUUUGCUGCAAUAAAAGCAUGGGAAGUGGAGAAGAAAACCUGCGCAGAACAAAUUCUUUUUCCCCUGCCUGAUAUGGACCAGUCCUACACUCCUACUCCUAACCGAGUUGAAGCUUUAAUGCAAGAAUUAAACGCAAGCGAGGCUAGGCAGUCAAUUAAGGUUAUGAUCCUCAUUGUGGAGUUGUGGACCUUGAAAUAAUUGAGAUUUCUAAACAAAAAUGAUGAUCAUCAAUAGCAACUCAUGAUGGUUGAACUUAAAAAGCCAAGGCAAACCUCUUUCUCAACACCAUUUUAAACUAUUUUUGUUACACUUUCAUUUCACAUGGAAUGCUAAGAAAGAUUUUCAUACAAUUUCAUGUGAUCUAUCAUAACUCGUCACGUUCAAUGCUCCAACAACAAAUAAGAAAACUAUGCUAUUUUCUUUAGAUGAAUUGUUGAAAUUUACCAAAAUUUGAUUUUAGCUCUUAAAAUGUGAAUUUAAGUAAUUUCGUUCCUGGAACCUUUUUAGUAUACCAGUGAAGUCAUUAGUCACAUCAAUCUUAGUUGUUGAGAGAACAAUGUGCUACUGAUUCUGCUACAUUUAUUUUUAACAGCAAAGUUAAUGAAUCAACAAAGUGCAGAUGUAUGAAUCUCAUACAAGCCAUCUCCAAUUGAUUGAGUGAAAGAUAAUGUGAUUGUGGACUGACAAAUCUUGAAAUUCUUAACUAUGAAUAGUCUCAAUAUGUCAAUGCUGCAACUUUAUUUGACUGGGAGUGGGUUUGACAAAACUGAAGUCUAAAAACUAAAAUAUGAAAUCUGAAUUCAAUUCGCAACUGAGGAGAGAGUUAUAUGAUAAUAUUCCACCCAAAUUAGUUUGUAGUCCUUCAAUUAUCCUCAACUAAUCGAAAUUCUGACAUUAUGAAGACGAAAUACGUUUUGAUUUAGACUUUAGAGAUAAAAUUAGUUCACACCCCUAACAUUAGGCACAAAAAGUGCAUUUUUCACAUUUGCCAGUGCUGUGCAAUUAGAUUAGUGUCUGUGACUCCUUCCCUACACUUAACUGCUCCCUCCAUUUCCUCCACAAAAAAAAAAAAAAAAAACUGUUCCCUCCAUUCCCAAGUGCCAACUCAGCAAAAUGGCAAAUUAGUAAAAAAAGAAGACUAAUCGACAGAGUAGGUGGCGCGAAAAUAACGUCGUCGUAGUCGACCUGUUCCUCGGUCUACUCCAACGUCCUUUUAACUGAAAGUUCACCUCUUUCGUAUUUUUUUUCUUAUUUCUUUAUUCAAUUUGAAUUAACGUUUAAAAAACUAUUUAUUCAUUUUCAAUUCUAAUUAAAAAUAACUCUUCUUCCUUCCCUCUCUCCAUAAAUUUUGAUCUCAGUUGUAAAAAUCUCCCCGCUGCUGAUUCAAUAACCUUCUUCCCUUGUCAAUCUUUCUCGCCGGAAAAUUUUCUUCCGACGGCUUACCGACAAACGAUCUUUGCCGCUUCCGACUAUUUCAUUGUCCUAUAACCGGUUAGAUUGAAUUUCUUUAAUCUUUAUGUGUAUUUAUUAUUAUCUUAGGUUUUUGCUUUUUGAUUUUGUAGAAAACUUUUGUCAACUGAAAACUGUGAUAUUAUAUUAGAAUCCGAAGUUUCCUAGCGAAAUUUUGUCCCUUUUUCUUUUCCUUUUGGGUGUUUUUCGAGAGUGAAUUUAGUGAUAAUACGAAAUUCGAAAAAUGAAUCUUUUGAUUGUUUUUGGGUUUGUUUUUCAAAAACACCACUGUAGCAUUUUGAAUCUGAAAAACAAGUCCGUUUGGAUUAGUUGUUUUUGGGGUUGUUUUUCAAAAACUAUAUGAAAAACUUUUACUGUAGAUUUUUUUGGAUUAUUUUUAGAGGUAUUUUGGAAACAUAUUUUUGAGUAUUUUUAGAAUAUUAUAAUUUUUAUAUUUUUAUAUAAAUAUAUAUUUAUGCAUUUAUAAUCCAUUUAUAUUUACAAAUGUAUAGAAGUAUAUUAUUAUAAAUGAAUAAAUUAUAAAUGAAUAUUAUAUAAAUGUAUAAAUUAUAAUUUAUAUUUUUAUAUUUUUAUAUAAAUAUGCAUUUAUAAUACAUUUAUAGAUAUUUAUAAAUAAAUAUAUUUAUAAAUGUAUUAUAUUAUAUAUAAUACAUAAUAUAAAUAUAUUUAUAAAUGUAUAACUGUAUAUUAUUAUAAAUGUAUAAAUGAAUAUUAUAAAUUAUAAGUGUAUAUUAUUAUAAAUUUAUAAAUUAUAAAUGAAUAUUAUAAAUGUAUAAAUUAAUAUAUUAUAAAUAUAUAUUAAUAUUAUGUAGAAAUGUAUUUAUAUAAUUAAUAUAAAUGUAUAUUUGUAUUGAUAUUAUGUAUAAAUGUAAAAUUAAUAUUAUGUAUAUUAAUAUAAAUGCAUAAGUGUAUAUUAUUAAAAAUGUAUAAAUUAUAAAUGAAUAUUAUAUAAAUGUAUAAAUUAAUAAAUUAUAAAUAUAUAUUAAUAUUAUGUAGAAAUGUAUUAAUAUAAUUAAUAUAAAUGUAUACAUGUAUUAAUAUUAUGUAUAAAUGUAAAAUUAAUAUUAUGUAUAUUAAUAUAAAUGUAUAAAUGUAUAAAUUAAUAUAUUAUAAAUAUAUAUUAAUAUUAUGUAGAAAUGUAUUUAUAUAAUUAAUAUAAAUGUAUAUAUGUAUUGAUAUUAUGUAUAAAUGUAAAAUUAAUAUUAUGUAUAUUAAUAUAAAUGUAUAAAUGUAUUAAUAUAUAUAAUACAUAAUAUAAAUGUAUAUUUAAAUGUAUAAGUGUAUAUUAUUAAAAAUGUAUAAAUUAUAAAUGAAUAUUAUAUAAAUGUAUUAAUUAAUAAAUUAUAAAUAUAUAUUAAUAUUAUGUAGAAAUGUAUUAAUAUAAUUCAUAUAAAUGUAUACAUGUAUUAAUAUUAUGUAUAAAUGUAAAAUUAAUAUUAUGUAUAUUAAUAUAAAUGUAUAAAUGUAUUAUAUUAUAUAUUAUACAUAAUAUAAAUGUAUAUUAUAAAUAAACAUAAAUAUUUAUAUAUUGUGUAUAAAUGUAUAAUAUAUUAUACAUUAUAUUAUAUAUAAUUUAUAUAACAUAUAAUAUUUAUGUAAAUAUAUUAUAAAUAUAUAAAAAUAUAUUAUAAAUAAAAUAAAAUAUUUAUAAUAUGUAUGUAUAGAUAUAUAAUAUUAGAAAUGUAUAAUAUAUAUAAUAUACAUUAUUAUUAAUAUAAUUUAUGUAUAAUAUACAUAAUUGAAAUAUACAUAUUAAUAUAUAUUAUAAAACAAAAUUGAAUAAAUAUAUUUAUAAAUUUAUAUAUAAAUAAAUGUAUUUAUAUAAAUAUAUAAUAUUUAUUUCAAUUGAUAUAAUAUAUAUAAUAUUAUACAUAAUUGAAAUAAAUAUAUUUAUAUUAAUAUAAUAUAUAUAUAUAAUAUACAUAAUUGAAAUAUACAUAUUAAAAUAUAUUAAAAUAUAAUUGAAAUAUACAUAUUAAAAUACAUAAUUAAAAUAUAUAAAUUGAAAUAUACUUAUUAAAAUAUACAAAUUAAAUAUACAUAAUUGAAAUAUAUUUGGAAUUGUUUUUGAUAUAUUGUUUGGAUAUGGGUGUUUUUGAAGUUGUUUUUGAAAUACACAUUACUGUAGCAUUUGGAAUGUGAAAAACAGUUUUUCAAAAACAGGUGCAAAAACACUCCAUCCAAACGCAGCCUUAUGUUCAUUUUUUAAAGUAUUUCGUGAAGCUUCGCUCACGGAGAUUAUACAUGAAAGCAGCAGAUGUUGUCAAAAUUUGGAACAAAACCUGACAAUUCCCAGACGAAUACUUCCAAUAAAUUAUUAUUGUUUAAAUUGUUGUUAAGCAUUUUCAUCGGUUACUGUACCUCAGAACCUGUAAAAAAAAAAAAUUUCAAAUCUUGAACUAUUGUUUAUUCAUUUUUCUCAUAAAUAAUUGUACUACGUGAAUAUUUUCUGUUUUUCGUAUUCACUUUGUUGUAUUUAUGAUAGCAGAGUAAAUUUAUGGGGAUGGACAAUGAUCUCCACAUGCACGUGGUCCUCAGUAUCUGUUCCCAUUACUCUGCAAUUAUAUGCUUCAUCAUUUAUCAAUACCAUUCCGCGUCUUUAAUUAUUUAAUUUUUUUUAUUAUUAGAAUUAUGCCCUGCAAAAAGACAAAUUCCAAUUUUGUAUUUUUGAGUUUUUUUAGUAUUUUGGAUUUAGAACUAUGCUAAUUAAGUUAAAAUUAAGGGGAGAAGCUGAUUCUUUGAUGCAAUUUAGAAAAACCCACGACAUGGUUAGAAUGAGAAAAACUGUUGUAUUUUUUCUCUAUUUGAAAUUUAGAGUUUCAAGAAUUUGGAUGAAGGUAUUUAGAGUCAGAAAUGACACUCAUUAGAAUGGAUGCCCGUAUGGGGGAUGUAGGUGUAAGUGUUGGGAGAGGGGUAGAGAGUAGAUUCUUGUAACUUUCAGUCCCAACGAAUUCCCUUUCAUGAAAAGGAGUUGAGUGGGUAAAAUAGAAACAGGCCAGAGGGGCUUAGAGAGAAAAGUGAGAGAGGAAGAGAGAAAGAACUGUGUGUGUGUGUGUUGUUUAUAUCCAGCCAGAAGGACCAUGGCACUCCCGUGAGAUGGGACAAAAGGUAGAGGGGCCAAAGUGAAAUGGUAAAUCAAUAAAGAAACAAAUUAAAGAAUAGUGGAGGGAAGAAAAAAAGAAAAAGAAAUGAGGAGGGAAGAAAGAAAGAACUAAGAAUCAAUAAUAGCAUAUAUCAAAUCCAAAUUUUGCGUUUCUUUUUCUUUCUAUAUUCCUACCUUCAUUACACCUUCUUUUCAAUUCCUGAAGGGAGGGGGUUGGAUUAUCCUUUUGUUGUUUCAUUCUUCUUGUAUGUUUCAGAAGACUUUACAAUUCAAAUUUGAAUGAAUCUUUGAAUGUGGUAUAUUCUAGCCCACAUUUGGGUUCUUCUUGUGAAGCUUGAUUGUGUCUGAUCUACCUGGUUUUUGGGUUGCCAGUGUUAAUUGCAGAAUACCCUUUUGCAUUGAUUCCCUGAGAUUAUGAAAUUCUCAGUUGUUCAGAUCCAACCGUCUGUAAAGAUGUAUACUUUUGAUAGUUCUUUAUCCUUUUUCUGCUCACGCGUUAUUCUUUUCUUCUUUUUCCUAUCUGUGAUAUCUUACUCUUAGCUAUUGAUGUAUGACAGGUUAUCAGAGUAAAGCACAGUCUUUUAAAGAAAUUGGAGUAGACCAUGAGAGUUCAAUGUGGGUAUAUAAAAGUUUUACAAAGAUAUGUUUGAUUCUGUUGUGAAGGGGAGCUCCAAUGUGGCGUAAUUUGGACAAUUUGGAUGGAUUUAUGUGAAUUACAGCGAGUAUUACAGAAACAGUUUACAGUGGGCACCCCAAGACCACCAUUGAUUCCGGCAGACAAGAAUAAUGGAACCACUCGCCGGUCUCGAACAAGAGAAGUUAGUUCUAGAUACAAGUCACCUACUCCAGUUGCAUCUUCUGGUCCAAGGCGUUGCUCUUCCCCAACUGUCACAAGAACAACAAAUUCAAAUGUGUCAGUACCAAAAAGAGCUAUAUCUGCUGAGAGAAAGCGGCCCUCAACGCCACCAUCACCACCAAGUCCGUCUCCAUCAACACCAGUGCAGGACACAUCGACAGAUGUGCUUUUGGCAUCAAGAAAGGUAGCAGGCAAUCGGUUGCCUGAGUCGUUAUGGCCGUCUACGAUGAGGAGUCUUAGUGUUUCUUUCCAGUCUGAUACUUUUUCUCUGCCUAUUAGUAAGAGGGAAAAACCAGUUAAUCAUGCUCUUGCUGAUCGGACUCUGAGGCCACCAUCCAAUGUAGCACAUAAGCAGAGUGAAACAAUAACCCCUGCUUCACGAAAGCCUACACCAGAGAGAAAAAGGAGUCCACUGAAAGGAAAGAAUUCUGCUGAUCAGUCUGAGAAUUUUAGACCAGUUGAAGGUGUGCAUUCUCGACUGGUAGAGCAGCAUAGAUGGCCUAGUAGAGCAGGUGGAAAAUUAUCUGCAAAUACAGUAAAUAGAAGUAUUGAUCUUGGUGACAAGGCCGGUAGGAAUUCAUCUUUGCAACAGUCAGGAUCUGGGGUACCUUCCUUACGGAGAUGGUCCUUGGAUGGUAUGACUAAGCCUUUACAAAAAUCCGCCAGCAACUUGUUGGCACCAGUGUCAUCUGAUGAAGGUGGGAAACAAGUGAUUGGUGAUUGCUCAGCUGAUGAUAAUUCAUUGCACUUACAUAAGCCUGUCUCUUCGAGUUUUUUGGAAAGAUCAAAGCUAAUGAACGCUGCAAUUAGAUCUCAGUCUUUACCUGUUCACAGUUCUCGUCCCCCAUCACCGAAUAAAGCGUCAGUGACCUCAUCCACUAUUUCACGAGGAGUCAGUCCAUCCAGGGCGAAAAGAGUGAGUCCUGUUCCAUCAAGAGGGCCGAGUCCAUCACGAUCAAGACCAUCAAGCCCAUCAAGACAGUCCAGUAAUCCAACUUCUGUUCUCAGUUUCAUUGCUGAUAUCAAAAAGGGAAAGAAGACAGUGAAUUACAUUGAAGAUGCUCACCAACUGCGGCUAUUGUACAAUAGACAAUUGCAGUGGCGAUAUGCUAAUGCUACCGCAGAUGCUGUGCUGAGUUCUCAAAAAGAAAAAGCUGAGGUUUGUCUUCUCUUAUUUGUGGAACUUUACAUGCCUUAUAUGUGCUGUCAAGUUACAUACUAUUUAAAGUUAGAAAUCCAACAUAGCUAUCAUUGAAUAACACAAAUAUGAACAUCUUAUAUCUCCAUGUGUAUAAUGCUACAUUCAGCUUGUUGGACAUCAAUCCUUUUGUUAGUUUCCAUAUCUUUUGUCAUGGAAAAUGCAUUGUCGCCUGCUAAAAUGUGGACUCUGACCUAAUAUAGAUUUCACUGAUGAGAAACAUGAUGAUGCAGCUAACGUUAUAUAGCGUCUGGAGAAGUACGUCAGAUUUGCGAGAUUCAGUAAUCAAAAAGAGAAUAAAACUGCAACAGCUAACAUUAAAGUUGAAGCUGUACGCAGUUUUGAAUGAACAGGUAUUCAUCAUGUCCUUAAAAUGAAGCUUGCAUUAGUUUCUGGUGCAUGGGUCUAAAUGACUCUUUCCAUGUGGUUUCCAUCAUUUAUUUCACUUUGAAAGCUUAUCAAUAAGAAUCAAGCAAAUGAAAUAUACAAUUUCUGGAAAGAAGCUUUGAGUGUUGUCAUUGACUCAAGUAUAAUGCAACUAAAACGUUCAUAACAUCAGUAAUUGAGUUUUGCUAUCCAUAGCUGAUGAGGAUGCAGAAGUAAAUGAAAAUGAUUUUUUUGCAAGAGACUUGCAUUUGCAGUUGCAUGGCCUGCCUAAUAACAGUGACAAUUUAUUUCAAAUUGAUUCUUAUGUUUUGCUCGCAGUUGAAGCAUUUUGAAUUAUGAAAGUAUAACAAUGUUCAUGAACUUCAUCGUCCAAGCCUGGAAUUUAGAUAUAUCAUGCUCAAAGUUCUUCAAGUUAUCUCUUCAUUUAAACCCAACUCAUCAUUGGUGUUUCAUUAUUCUUUUCAAUGAUUAGUAAAUUGACGCUAAAAAGUAAGUUUUGACAUCUCAGCUGGCCUACCUUGAUGAGUGGCCAGGAAUUGAGAGGGAUCAUGCUGAAUCGUUAUCCCAGGCUAUCACAGAUCUGCAAGCAAGCACUCUCCGCCUUCCAGUCACUGGAGGGGCAAGGGUAUGUUGGUCCCAUGAGUUACUAAAGCUCAUUUCACUAGAAGAUGAUUGUUAAGAUGUUCUACAUUUUACAGGGAGAUAUCCAAACUGUCAAGGCAGCUGUUUGCUCAGCAGUGGAUAUAAUGCAGGCAAUGGGAUCCUCCAUAUGUCUUAUACUGUCACAGGUACUCUUCAUCAAGGCUUGUAGAUGCUAAUCGCUCUUAAGGCAAAAAUGUAUUGGGUUUUAUUAGGAAAGUUGCAUAUUUCCUGGAUUUCCCUUGGCCUUUUGGACCUUAUUUAAUUGGUCAUCUGGUAUUAUUAGCUUUAUCGCAUAAAUUCACGUUACAGUACCUGAAAACAAUAACAAAUUUAAGUACCUUGGCAACAGACCUUUUCCUUGAUUUUCUGAGUCACAUAAUCCUUGAGUUGGUUAUUUUUGAUAAAUUUGUUCGAGAAUAGCUUAAUGGGAUGCUACAUGCUGUUUAUUAUUAAGAUGAAUCCUGUGAUGAGGUGUAAUUUGUUUUGACAAAGAUGUACAUGAUGACAUGUCUUCUUCUUGAAGAUUCCAUAAGGAUGUUAUAGGCUCAUAUUGCUCUGACAAAGAAAUGUAGAAGCAAUCUCAACCAUAUGUAGAUAGAUUAAUUAGAAAUAAGCUUUUAAACAUCUGAUCUUAUUGCUGUUUCUGCAAUCUGAUACUGUCAUGUAAACAACUGGUAUGCUCUUAAGUCUUGAACUUUCAUCUUUUAUCCAUUCAGGUGGAGGAAAUGAACUGCCUGGUUUCUGAACUUGCUGACGUGGUAGCUCAAGAAAGAGCAAUGCUUGAUGAAUGUGAGGCUCUCUUUGCGUCAACAUCUGCAAUGCAGGUAAAGACUAGUUUCUAAGUGAUGUUAUUAGCUGUAGUGUGGAGUCCGUAUAUACACUGAGUGUGCAUUUUGCAUUCUUCUCCAAUUUCCAUUCCCUCCUUCUUUUUCCAUUUUUUUCCUCCUUGCCACACCUUCCUCAUUUAGUUUUUGGACCGAAUGAAAGUUGUACCUCUUGUGAAGCUUGGAGGACCAUUUCAAAGUACAUAAAAACUAUUUGUGUUGUGAAUAAUUGUCCCUUAUCAAAUGGCAGAUUCAUGCCAUACGACAUUUUAAGCCUAUUAUUUCUGAGAUACGGGAUAAAAGAAUGCACAUAACCACAAAUUGAUAUAAAGUAAAUGAGAAUCAUUAAACUGACUUUUAGUGUUUCAGGAUGAAACUAGGAUGUUAUUUAGUUCUUCAUGCAUGAAAAUCAACCAAUAGGUAUUAAUCAGGAUGAGUUUUCAUAUUCAUUACUUUCUCUUUUAAAAUCCCACGUGAUUAAGGUGUAAAAUGCCAUUUGAGCGACAGCUGAACAUUUUUUGUUAAGCGUUUGCAUAAGACCUGUUUGUCCUGAUGCCAUACAAGGUUCAUGACAUAAUGAACUGCUGCAACAGCCGUAUUCUUCUUUUUCUCUAGUUAUUACUUCUGUUUUGGUAGUUAUACCAAGUUGGAAGAUGAAGGUAUGUCAUGGUGAUUGAUGUUGGCAACUGUUUUUCUGAUGGCCUUAAUUAUUUUUGAGAAUCUGAUGUAUCCCACUGGAUAAGGAUCUUUAUUCCUUCUCGCAAAAUGAUGGUUUGAUUGUUUACCAUCUCCAUUGCCCUUCCCCUUUUCGUUUCUUCCUUUCAACUCCAUCUAGAAAGAAUGUUUUGAAUUUCCUUAUGUUGGUUUCUGGAGAUCACCACAUCAUCCCCUAGAUUACGUAAACAGGUCCUGUCUCUCUCUCUCUCUCUCUUUUAGAACUUGGUUUGCGGAAUAUCUUUUGUAAGGUCUCUUUUAAGUAUACUUGUUGAUAUCUAUAAUGUUGGUCUUAAUGUAGGUAGAGGAAUACAGCCUUAGAACCCAUCUUGUACAGUUGAAAGAAGCUUGGAUAAAUGAUCAAUUGAUCUCUGGGAAUUAAAUGAACCAACGGAGGCUUCCACAAGGAACACUAACAACUUUCUUAAGGAAGAAAGUGAUACUGCUGUCAUAGCUAUUAGAGAGUGUAAAAUGAAAUAUAUAAUUUAUGUAGGCAUCUUUUUUUCUUUUUAACCUGGUAGAAUUGUGUAAUUUAGUAAUUAUAUUUUUCUUCAAUUUUUACUUCUUUACUGAGGGGCAAUUGUAAUUGCUCUAUCAGUUUUCAUGUAAUUUUUGUCUCGUGAUUGAAUGAAAAUGCAACAAAGAAGAGGGGUUAAAUUUAGAGAGAAUUUUUCUCAACAGUUCAUCUAUAAUACGUCUUCUUCUCUCAUCUUAUAUAAUAUUGGCCUCUGAAGGUACUGAUAUAUAAUUUUCCUUUCCUUCACGUACUAUUUUCUAUCACUAACGUGGUUCGUGAUUCUUGGGAUGAACGAGUGGAUCGUAUGACCUUGAGUUCGCAUGAAUGUGUGAAAAUCCAGAUGCACAGAAAGUUGGCUAAUAGAUGUGUUACAGAACGUGUAGCUGUAAAUUGAAUUCUGAAAAAAGGUCAAAAACUGCUACAUGCCCUGCAAGACAGGCAAAUUUAACAAAAUUAGGAUGUCAAAGCUCUUGAUUUUCUUUGAGAUCAGUUGAUCUGUUGUUUCCUUUUUCCAUACUAUGAUGCUUCUCUGGGAUUCACUGUGCCAGACACCCUAUCAGCAGCCUUCUUUGCCUACAAAAGGGGCCAAAGAAAAAAGAGAUAUUGGAACCGCUUGAGCAAAAUUGCAGAAAAUUACAGAAGAAACUGUUUUACCUCUUUCUCCCAAUUCAUUCGCAAAGUUAUUAUUCCAAGAAGUGAUGUUUGUGCAGCCAGCGCCACAAUAAUGCCAAUCCAAAGCCCCUGUGCACCAUAUUAUGAUCAGACAAGAUUAUUUGUCAUUUUGCUUCCUGUGGCUAGGUACUUUAUUGGAAGUUGUUGUGGAACAGAGGAAAUGGGGAGGAAUGGAAGCAAUGCAGUCCAAGUGUACCUUUCCUCCAACAUGAUAGACAAAUGCUAACAGUAUAGCAGAAGGUAUUCCCAACAAAUAAUAAGCUCCCAAAUUGAUGACUGCACCUACCCUUUGCCAGCCACAUCCUCUUGCAGUGCCUGGAAUUCAUUUGGAUAGAAGCUUUGAUAAAAGAUCAUUUUAUCCUUGAGAAUAUGAUCUAAAGCCAUAUUAGCCCUUGACUUAGAGAUGAAAAUGACAAAAAUGUGAAUGUACAAAGAGUGAAAUUUACAGAGAUUCAUGCAGAUUAAAAACUCAUAUUGCUCGCACUUCUGUAAGUUUAGUUUACCAUAGCUUUACCCUUAAAACCUCUAAAUUUCCAUGACUGAAAAGAAAAUUGGAAGUUCUGGUGUCAAUGAAGGUGUCUAGUUAACUACAAAUUUUGGGGGGGUUUUUUUUUUAUUAAGUUGCAUUCUAAGAUCAGAAUUAAUGUCAAGAGAUGGAUUUGCGAAACACCUUUCAUUAGAACUAUUAUACGGAGAUAUUGACAGACCUGAAAGUACGGUUUGAAUGCCCUCUAGAAUAUGUGAUCCUGCAAGCAAAAGCAUCAUAUCUGCUACAUAUCUCACUACCUUUUCUUCUGUGCUAUAGCAGUAGCCCCAUACUUUGCGCAAAAGGAUGAGGCAUGUUGAUGCCAAAACACCUUCCGUCAAAACAACCAAAAGUCCAAUGCAUGCUGCUAAACGAGCUUCAUAUGGCCUACCAGCCCCGAGUUCAUUUGAGACCCUUGUACUGAAGAAGAAGAACCAAAACUUUCCAAACUCAGUGGACAGUUAUUAAGGGGUGUGUGUGGGGGUUGGGAGCAUGGUUCAAAGUUUCGGUCGAGGUCACGGUUGCGGCUCGAACCGUUCCACACUGGUUUCGGCAUAUCGGUCGCGGUCUCAACAAGAUGCAAAUUUUGAAGUAUUUAAUAUUUUAAAAAUUGUAAAUAAUAUAAAACAAUAUGCUAAACAAAAAUAAUAAAAAAUUAGUAAAAGAAAAUCUGUAAAAUGUACUUUUUUUGUUGGAUUUAAAUUGACUCGAGAUGAUUCGGGACGACUCUGUAUGACUCGGCCAUUUCUAUCCUUAUCAGAGACUUCUCGGCCAAGUUUUCGGCAAUCUAUGUAUCUCAGAGUCAUCUCGUCCCGGUAUCGCAACCGAGAGCUCGCUCUGGUGACCACUCGGCCGAUUCUUUGAACCAUGGUUGGGAGGGGCCCCGGGGGGGUAGAGAAUAGUUAAAUCACCUGAUGGCACCACCAAGUCCUAGCGGCAUCACGUAAAUCAUGCUACAUGUGUUAAGGCUGCAAUGCACACCUUUGUAAGUUCAAAAAAGUUGCUUACUCAUUGCUGAUCAAAUUUCAAUGGAAUUUUUAGGGACUAACCUGAUGGAAAGAACUGGUGUUUCUAGCUUUGGAUUUGGAAGAAGACCAGACAGCAAAACCAUCAUUUCAAAUGACCAAAUCUCUAGGCUGUUUCACAGCAUGAUAUGAUUUAUUUGCUAUGGGUAAGAGUUGAAAUUAGGAGGAGAUGUGCAUGCAACAAGGGGAAUAGAGAAUUACCAGGUCAUUAUAGCAGAAGGAAUUGCCAGUGUAAGAAAUUUCCAGAUAUGAUGAAAUGCUUCCUUGGAAAAUCCAGUCCAAGUCAUUUUACAGGAAGGAGAUAACCUAAUAUACAACGCUAACAACAAAACAUUGAUCCAAUACGAAACGGAGCUAGCCAGAGCAGCACCUCUGCUUCCGAGGCCUGAUUUAAAUACGAGAAGCCAACACAUGAGUAAAUGAACUAAUGUUAUAAUUCCAGUAGUAAGCAUCAUAGGAAAGACAUUAUUUUGGGCUUGCAGAAAUCGGAUUUGGCAGUAUAGGAGCGCAACAGCAAAGAUGCCUGGUAUCAGAAAGCGGGCAUACACUUCAGCUUCAAAUGAUAUUUCAGGAUCUUGCCCCACAAACGCAAGAAUACGCCCUGUAUUUGCCCAAAUACAUGUAAGAGGGAUGCAGGUAAGUAAAAGGACGACCAUAGCUCUCUGCAUAUGAAUUCCCAGCAUUCGAUAGUGUUUUGCUCCAUAGGACUGACCGCAGAAUGUGUCCAAUGCACCAGACAUCCCAUUCUGCCCAAAAAAAAGGUAAGCCAUGAUCGCAUAUAAAAUAUGAUUUUGACGUUCAUCAAACACUUAGAUCUGCACAGCAUGAGGCUCAUUUGUCUUCAACUAGCUUUUGUAAAUGUAUUAUGCUUGCAGUUCCUAAGCAUAUCAGUUUUGAGUUUCGUACUUGGCAUCUACCUUUAAAUAUUUCUCCACAACCAUAAAAACAGUUUUUUUUUCGUUGUCAACAAUUGGAUUUGAUGCUGCUAAUAUCGAUGCAUUUUCAAAUUAUCAGAGAUUAAUCAGAUCUCAAAUACCUAAACAACAUGAGAACAUCAGCAAAAAUCAAGUAACAAUUGUUGUCUCAGCAAUACAACAGAGUUAAUUUGGAAAUUAUUCCAAAAAAAUUGUCCUCCUGAAACCGAUUAAGCUUCAGGUGUGAAACUGAACCUCAAACAACUUGAUUACACCGAAUAAAAUGCAAAAAUCAUGGCUGAUUUUACUUGUAGAGCAAGUAUAUUAUCACUUACGAACAAGCUGAAACCAGUUACUGAAGCGAAUGAAGUAGCCAAAGAAGCACCAGAAAGAGCUAGCUCUCCAAGGUGACCAACAAACAUGAGGGCGAUCACCUGCAAAGCAAAUAUCAAGAAGUUGACCAAGAUCAGAGGCCCUGCCAGUGCCAAGAGCUUCUUCACUUCUGCCAAGAAAUCGGAAUGCUUUGUACUGGAUCCCUGCACUCCGGAUGAGACUGGAACAAGUGGGCAUUCCAGUCCAUGGCUUAUGUUUUUCUCAUCCAUAGUUCCCCUUUCUCAACUCUUCUCUCGCAAGGAUCAGAUUGUGAAGAACUCAGCAUUCCCUUUCAGAUUUAUGAAUUGUUUUCAAUGAAAGAGAUCUCAGCACCAUUGUCUGUCUAUGUAAAUUCAUUAAUGCAAUACUAUCAUGCGCCGGAUGUUGUCGCUACUGUUUCCUUUCAAUUUCAAACCUCGGUUACAGGUCGAUUUUCUAAGAUAUCUCAAACACUCGGUAGAAGUUGUUUUCAUAAUGCAACCUCUUCGUCCCUUGACCAAUUUCUUUUAGUACGAGGAUGGUGUAAAUCCCUCCCAAAAUUUCUGCACUGCAUUAGAGUUGUCUGAGUAGGCAUCCCAUGAUUGGUCAGAGAGUCACGACACCAAAAAUGCAUUACUCUUCUAGUUUUGUAUUCUUUGACGUGUCUCCGCAUCUGUCAAAAGAUAUGAAUUCCUCGAAAAUUCUAAGGAUUGGUACAGUGAUUUGUACCAAUCCAUUGGUACAGUGGUUUGAUGUGGUACGGAUGUGGUAGGAGCCAGACACGUUAGGAAAAGCAAAAUUCAAGGUUGUUUUUGGCGUGGGUUAAGGCUACCGGAACUUAAAUGAGUGUCGUGAUGGUGGGUUCCACAUUGAAAUGACCCAAGCCAAUUUAUCAGUCACAUGGGUGAAUAAGACCCAAGACAUUAUUAAUAUUACUAUUGUUUUCUAAUUUAUAUACAAUAGACAUAAUGAAGAAAAUGCAAAGUUAGAUACGUAACUGAAAAGAAAUUAGAAAAAAUAAAUAAUUUAUGUAUGUACAGAACUAGAUAAAUUUUGAUUCAUUUAAUUACAUAAAUUGACAAAAGAGGAGAUAAUUUAAAUAUUUUGGAAGAAAUUUUGGAAUAAUGUAUACAAUUAAUUAAACCGAUCACAGGAAUUAAUAAUUGUAAAGGAGUAAACGAAUGGUUAAUUAAUUAGUUGAGAUGGAACAUUUGUAGGAGAAGUAAUAUGCUGUUUUAUUAUAUGAGAAGUAAUUAAUAUGAUUCUUUUAUUAUAUUUGCGGGUAGAACAUAUAUAAAGAAAUGUUUAAAAAAUGCAUUUGUUAUGGUAUUGGUCCAAAUUAAUGAGAAUGAAUUGAUGACAUAAUAACCGGAGUGCAAAUAGGUGAAAUUUAAUUAGACCAUACUUGUCACUUUUAAAUUUUCAACAUUAUCAUCAUAAUCACCUUAAUUAUACUUUUAUCAUUUGAUUAACAUAUUGUUUAUGUAUUGUCAUCCAAUAGCACAACUAACUUUCAUCGAUAAAUCAACCAUAAACAUUAUAAUUACCAAAUUCAUUAAAAUAAUAUUAAAAAAGCUUUUAAAGAUCAAAGUUUUUUUUUUGUUUAUUAAAACUUUAUACCAAUUUCUUCCGUAUAAAAAGCGAUUGUUUUAAAUUGCACAUGGACUGAGUGUGUCCUUUAUCACUAGUGGUAUUUGAAGUCACCCCUGUCAGUUGUCCUAUUGACUUGACGUGCGGCAGAAUACCAUGUACAAUUGUGUGUCAGUCUAAUACCAAUGAAAUGGUGGAAACUGCCGUGCCAUCUUGAAGAAGCUUCGGUGAAUUCCUCUGUGGUGGAGCCAUCUCCAACUCCCGUGUAGUGAAAAGUUGGGUAGAAAAAUAAAUCAAAUUAUUCGAUAGUUAAAUCGAAUUCGGUUUGAUAAAUUAAAUUGCUUAGAUACUUGAAUCGAACUCGAUUUGAUAAAAGUUUCUUCGAAUUUAGUUCGCUAACUAGUUUAGUUCAAACUCAUUAGUGGAUUAAGUUCCUUAAAGCAUUGGACUAGUACUUGUAGUUAUCAUUAGAAUAAUUAAUGUAAUUAGAAUAAUACGCAACUUAUAGAAAAAGUGUAACUUGUGAUCAAGCCAAUUACAUUGCAGAUAAAAAAAAAAAAAAUCAGAAUUCAAGUUUGGCUAAAUUCCAGUGUCCAGGAAUUUAUAGUUGCUUUUACGUUUUCAAGGAAUAUAAUUAAUCCUGAACUACAUCAAGAAGGCACUAGAAUCUUGAAAACAAUCCAAAAGCUGGAUUUGUGACGGUGAAUCCUCCAUCCAACAUAAGAUUGUGUCCACUCAUGAACCUUGCCUCCUCACUAGCCAGAUAAACAGCAGCAUUGGCUAAAUCUUCAGGCUUCAAGACCAUCCCUUCAAGGUUUGUGUAAACUCGUGAUUGUCCUUCUUCACCAAAAUUGAAGAAGUUCUGGGACAGUGGUGUCAAAACAACAUGAGAAGACAAGCAGUUGACUCUGAUUCCAUGCUUCCCAAGCUCUGCAGCAGCAUUUCUUGUCAAGCCCACGACAGCAUGCUUUGAACUCGAAUAUGAAUGGGAGGUUAUCCCUCCAAUGCUUCCUGAAAUGCUUCCCAGGUUAAUGAUGCUCCCACUUCGCGUUGGGAUCAUCGCCCGGGCUGCAUGUUUGAUGCCGAGGAAAACACCUGAGAGAUUAACCCGCAUCACACGUUCAAAAUCGGAAAGAUCGUUGUCUAGGAUGCUAGUUUUUCCUUCAUCUGCUAUGCCAGCGUUGUUGAUCAUGAUAUCCAGCUUCCCAUGCUCGUGAACGGUCCUGUUAAUUGCAUUUUCAAUAUCUGAUUCCUUGGUUACAUCACAAUAGAGAAAAGAUGCAUUUUCGGCGCCCAAAUCGUCACAUACAGAUCGCCCCAGCUCUUCAUUUAUGUCAACACACACUACUUUAGCCCCAUGAUUGACGAACACUCUUGCCAUACAAGCACCUAUGCCUUGAGCUGCGCCAGUGAUCAGAGCGACCUUACCUUCCAACCUUUAAUAUUUAGGAAAACAAAAGAGAAAAAGAAAAAUGCCGUGUCAGAUCAUUAUCUUUCAAGAAAACGCAGGAGAAGGAAUGAGAAUCGUCAGCACUAGUACCUUUUGCCAACCUGAGCUUCUGAUGAAAGAUUAGCCAUUAAGUGAUGAUAACUCCUUUGUGAACUUGAGCUAGAAAUGAGAGAGAAGUUGGUGUGCGUCUUUGCCAAAACCUAGCCCCAUUUUAUAGCCAAGCAACUUAACUACCAUUAACAAUAAAAUAUACUAAGAGGUUUACUAGAUGCCUUUACUGACCCCAUAUUAACAUUAAAAAUUUUCCUAAUUUGACAUAUUAACAUAGUCAAAUAUACUGCAUAUAUCUCAAUAGGUACGCCUGCUUAACAGUUGCAAUCUUCAUAUAUAGAUUUCACUGUCAGUCUUCACGUUAUGUAAAAGGACAUGUCCUCAACUGGCUCUGCCAUAACUUCCAGUAUUCGGGUUGGUCCCUGCAAUCAUAUUAUACAUUUGAAGGUUGUUGAGCAAUGUCCAUGGAGUUUCCUGGCUGGAAACUAGUUUGACCAAAAACCUUCAUCUCUUGGCAAGAUCCAUAUAAUACACCAAAUUGGAAAGAUCCUCAAACCUGAACCUGUACCCCCUUCUUGUAAAAAGACAAGAAUAUAAAACAAGAAGCACAUAUCUCCUGUUCAGAUGAAUUAUGCACCAUGGCAUUUAGAUAAGAGAACAAUGCGUCCCACUUGGCUGUUGAAGUCAUUAUUGCAUAGUCGCAUGUCUGAAAAUAAAUCCCAUUUCUUCCUGAUGACCUAAUGAAUUAAUUAAGCAGUCAAGAAUUGAGAUGCAAUGCAUCUAUUGGUUUCUACCACUUGGAUAUGUGAAAUUGAUGUCUUUCGUAGCUACCAAGCUUUUGGACUGUUCCAAAUAUAUUAUUGCCAAAUUUUAAUCUUCUAUUCCUCAGUCUUUCGCGAUUACUUCUAUUCAACGUCCAAGUCACCCAUGUUUCUUAUUUACUUCUGGCAGCUAGUUAUGUUCAAAGGAAAGUAAUUUCGCUAAGGAUAUUUCUAUUUUAUUAUAUUUUGUUGUUGAUUAUAAAAUAACUAAAACUUCAUUUUGACAAAUACAUAGAAAUGAACCCGAGGAGUUGGGGCCAGUGGCAAGCGGCUGGUAAUGCGAGCAGGACGACCAAGCUUUGGGUACCGAAACAGAUGGAACGGCCAUAGUUUUCAAAAAGGGGAAAAUAUGUACAAUUGGCUUAACUAUUGAAAAGACAAAAAUAUCCAAACGUGAAAGUUUGCAAGCCAGUUCAGAUGUCGUCGACGCCUUCAAUAAUGGUGUAAAAUGGGAUCACGGGACCUUUUUUUCAGGAGUUCAGAAGUUACUUGAAAAUAGUUGCGUAGUGAUCUAAUCCCAAAAACAAACUCUAUUUCGACUUCAAAGCCAUGAGACCCAAAUUAAAAAUAUCUAAGAUUUUAGAUUUGACAAAUGAAAUCUGAGAAAGAACAAAGGAAAAAAAAAUUUAACCGAGAAAUUUCAAUUUAUGAUUGUUGAAAUAAACUAAUUUACGCAUAACUUUUGAUUUAGAUGCACAAAACGAAUCACACUUUUACCACUAAACUACACCCGCUACAAUGGAAUUACUUUCGCAUAUAGUGACUUAAUUACACAUUUCUUCCUGAAACACUAACCCUCCAGCGUCAAUAAAAUGCUGGAACGUACUCCUCUAUUUAUUUAUUUCUCUUCUUGUUUUCCUAGUGAUUCUUGUCUUUAUUCUUCUAUCGGUAAAUGACUGCCACAGUCCCUCAAAUUUUAAUAAUAAUUCUAUUUGAUCUCUCAAUUUUUAAAAGUGCUUAUUCAGUCUCUCAACUUAUUAAAUUUGGUUUUGAGUCCCCAAACAAAACAUAAAUAGUUUAAUUUUCACAUUACCCCCUCAAGUUUGAUUUAAUAUCUAUUUUUCUAUUCUAAGUUUAAAAAUAAGGCAAAUUAUCCCCUUUAAUAUUUUUGUUCUAACUAUGUAAUGUCCUGAACCAUGUUUCCCUAUCGUUAUAUUAUUUGCCUCAAAAUCAUGGCAGAAACUUUUUUUUUGUUGCAAUAUCGUUUUUACGCAAGUUAAUUGUUGUAGCACUAUAUUCAUGUAAACUAAGUGUACAACAUUCGCCAAAAAAAAAAAGAAGAAGAAGCAAAUUAUGAGUGCAAAAAGCCAAAACGAAGACAGAAAACAAUCCAAAAGCAGGAUUACGUAUCCUAAAGUACAUGAAUAAUUCUAAAGACGAAGUCUGCACUAGAAUCUUGAAAACAAUCCAAAAGCAGGAUUUGUGACAGUGAAUCCUCCAUCUAACAUGAGAUUGUGUCCACUCAUGAACCUUGCCUCAUCACUUGCCAAAUAGACAGCAGCAUUGGCUAAAUCUUCAGGCUUCAAAACCAUCCCUUCAAGGUUUGUGUAAACUCUUGAUUGUCCUUCUUCACCAAAAUUGAAGAAAUUCUGAGACAGUGGUGUCAAAACAACAUGAGAAGACAAGCAGUUGACUCUGAUUCCAUGCUUCCCAAGCUCUGCAGCUGCAUUUCUGGUCAAGCCAACUACGGCAUGCUUCGAACUAGUAUACGCAUGGGAGGUUAUCCCUCCAAUACUUCCUGAAAUGCUUCCCAGGUUUAUGAUGCCCCCACUUCGCGCUGGGAUCAUCACUCGGGCUGCGUGUUUGAUGCCUAAGAAAACACCUGAGAGAUUAACUCGCAUCACACGUUCAAAGUCGCAAAGAUCGUUGUCUAGGAUACUUGGUUUCCUUUCAUCUCCUACUGCAGCAUUGUUGAUCAUGAUAUCCAGCUUUCCAUGCUUGUUAAUGGUAUGAUUAAUUGCAUUUUCUAUAUCAGAUUCUUUGGUUACAUCGCAGUAGAGAAAAGAAGCAUUCUCAGUGCCCAAAUCAUCACAAACAGAUCGCCCCAGCUCUUGAUUGAUAUCAACACAGACUACUUUGGCCCCAUGAUGGACGAAUUCUCUUGCCAUACAAGCACCUAUUCCUUGAGCUGCGCCAGUGAUCAGAGCCACUUUACCUUCCAAUCUUUCAAAAACGAGGAAAAAAAGGAAUGAGGUCAGAUCAUCUUGAAGAAUAUGCAGGAGAAGUAAUGAGAAUUACCAGCAUGAACAAUACCUUUUGGCCACUUGAGCUUUUGAUGAAAGAUCAGCCAUUAUGCAGAUAUUGACUACCCCUUUGUAAACUUUGUGCUAGACAAUGGGAAUGAAGUUUAGAUGUCUUUGCCAAAAUGUAGACCCAUUUUAUAGCCAAGUAAUUGACCUAACUACCGUUGGGAAUUAAAUGUAAAAGGUCUAUUAGAUUAAUUAAGUCAUUAGACGUUUGAUUAUGAUGUAAGGAUACCAUUACGUACCGGGCUCCAAUUUUCAAUUCAAGUGGUACUCAAAAGAAGAUAUAAAUAUGAAUUUAAUAAAAUGCAAUAUAACGCUUUCUGACACAUUGCUGGAAUCGUAGACGUAUUAUAAUCAUAGACUUCUUUGUUGCUUCUACUCAUGUCAGGACACUGGUCUCUUGCCGUCUUGGAUUGAAGAGAUGUAAACUACCAUCAUUCGGACCAUUAGUUUUCUCAAAUCCUAUACUUUGACCGCUAAACUUCCACAAUUUUUUUGACACACUACUAUAUUCAAAAAAAAUAGACAACAUAACGUGCAUGAUAUUAAUAUUGUCACUGAAAGACCUCUUAAAUGAGAUGCUUGUUACCAGUUAAAAAUGUUGUCACUGAUGAUUCAUUUUCUGGUAAUAAGUAGGAAAUGAUACUUGUAAUCUCCUUACAAAUUUCACUGCCAAUAUUUUUAACGUUGGCCAAAAGGACGUGUCCUUGACUUGCCCACCGUGACUAAUAACUCUUCCUUUUUUAUAAUCAAAAAGUUUAGAUGAAUUUUGCUCCGAUCACUAUUAUGAAUUUGAACAAUCUCCCGUUGGAAUCAUAGAUUGCUUGUAGGAGUUCUUACAGAUUACUCGCCAACACAUCUCUAGUAUCAACGGUGAAAUUCAAGUAUACGAUUCGUUUUUACCAACCAAAUUAACCAACUUGAGCCGGGGACUAAUAACUCUUCCACGUGCUAUCAUAUAUUGGAGGGGUUUUCAAACUCUGUCCAAUUUGUGUCCAUAGAAAUUCCCGAACAAGUUCCAUGCCACAUAGUACGCUUAAUUGUAAAGAUUCUCAAACCUUAACCUGUAACUGCUCCUUGUAAAAAGACAAGAGUUUAACAACUAUGAAACACACUUUUCCUGGUUAAAUUGCAUCAACAGGUUGUACGAGUCAUAGUUGUACCGCUUUCGUGUGAAUGUGAUAUAUAUCUAAAAUGAAACUCAUUCUUUCAUAUGGUCUGAUGAGUUAAUUAAACAGCGAACUUGAGAUUCAAUGCAUCGAUUGCGUGUAGAAGCCGUGGCAUUUGAAUGUGAUGCCGAAACUAAUCCAAUCAGAUCAUAUUUUAGGCAUUAGUGGAGAGAUGAAUGUGUUCAAAAGCCAAAAGUAGGUGACUGCAUGCAAGGGUAUUCUAUUGCAACCAAACUAGGUCAUGGCUGGAUACCAAAGAAGUAGCCAGAGUGACGACAAAAGUUAGGCGGUUGAACGGCUAUUAGUCAAAUCAAAUCUAUUAUUAUUUUCAGCGUGUUAAAUGGGAUUCUUUUCUUUUUUUUUCUUUUAAACAUUAAAUGGGAUUCAUCUGUUUACUAAGUUUUGAACACAUUUUUCUAGAAUUAGGAGAAUAACGAUUUUGGAUUCAAUUCCUCCUUUUACCAUCUCGUUUCUUAAAUUUUACCAUUUCUGUACUUUAUACGAAAAAAAAAAAGACAGUAUUAAGAGAAUAUGGGAGUUAGGGGAGGAAGAAAUGAGGAAUGAGAAAUAGGACGAAGGAAUUAAGCUAAUUUAAAACAAAACAUAAAGGAAAUCUGUAAUUUCUCUUUCCAAAUAUUUGAUAAGGAAGGCCCUUCCCAGUUCCCAUAGGAAUACGUUAAUUAUAACUAACCAAAAUUUGUACUUCUUGAACAAUUUGCCCACCAAGUUUUUGACAGAUCUGUAUGCCACAUUGAAUUAUUGAUAGUACUGGAAGUCGAGAAAGCUUCUCUAAUUUCAAUCUAACAUGUUUUUGCCAUAAAGGCAUUGAACAAAUUCAGUCUGUUGUUGAUUUUGCCAAAUGGGCAAGAAUGAGGGCUUGGGCCGGUGACAUCGCAGAUCUAACUCUUAGGAAUAAAUGCUCCUUAUUCAAGCAUUGAAUCAUAUAUACCAGAUUCUAGUUCAACAUCAAGCUUGGAGUAACUAAAGCCUUCGAAUUUAAUAAGCCGGCUUUUGGAGUACGCUCUGGGAUUAAGGUUGGUUGAGUCAGUAAGAGUCAAUGACUUCUUGACAGAAAAAAUUCAGUUGGCUGUUAACAACGAGAAAGAAACAGCCACUGGACACAACAAUUAACUAUGGCUCUUGGCUAUUAUGUCUUUUUAGGAGAUCAUUUUGAAGGAAAAUAUAUAGAAAAGUAAAAUACAUUGCGACUUUAGAAAUGUAGAUAAUUCUAAACUAUCGAUAAUUGUUUUUUUUUGUUUUCCUUUCUAUUGUUAUUCUUUUUUCCUUGUUCCUUAAAUUUAAAUGCAUCAUUUCUCUUAAAACUUAGGUAUGUUCACCAUUAUUUUUUAGACACGUUAUAUAUGUUCAACAAUCUCAUACGUUAAAUAUAUCUAGUAAUUUGAUAGGGUGUAAAAUUGCUAUUUAAUUUAUAAUUAUUUUCCCUUGAUUUUAGUCAAAUAUUGUUUUAAUUGAUGGAUUCUACUUAUAUUUGGUUAAUGGUACUAACUGUAGGAAAAGAAGCGAAACGUGAUUAAAAUGGGCAAUUUUCCAAUUAAUUUGAAGAUGGCACGUCGGGGCCGGUUUUCAAAUCCAAAUCAAACUCAAAUUAGUUUUUGGAGGAAGAUUUUAAAGACUUUAAUUUUCAUUAUUAGUUUUAGUAUUGGAUUAGGAAACUUGGAAUAUUAUCUUUAGUAGUUUUCUUUUUAUAUUUUGGGAAACAUAUCUUACUAUUAUUAGUAGUUGAGAUUAAGUAGGAAACAAGAGGAAUUAGGAAAGCCAGAUUCCUGUUUGAUUAGGAGUCAGCCAGCAACAAUUUCUGAGUAUGACACUUUGAAGCAUAGUUAUUAAACCUGGCCCGGCCCGGCGGUCGGACCGGUCAAACCGGUGGCCCGGUCAUAAAACCGGGCUGGUUUUCUAGUUAGAUCGGAGUUGCAAAGAACCCGCCUUGACCCGUUCGACCCGGACGGUUUAACCAUAGAACCGCUAGAACCGGCGGUUAUUGAUAAACCCACCGGUGGGUUUUGGUAAUUUUUUUGAAGUUACCGUUUUAUCCAAUUUUUUUAUUUAGACCAUUCAUACUACAUGGGCAUUAUCGUCUUUUUAGCCAAAUAAAAGAGAAAAUCAGAAAAAUUAAAGAAUGAAGAGGGAAUCGGGCAUGUGGCCCAAUUGGCCGUCAUUGGGGAUUUAAGCAUUAGGGAUUGCUUUCUUCUUUGUUUCUCUGAGAAGCGAGAACAAAACAAAUGGAGAAUUGUUUCUCUGGGAUUCGGCCAUUGUUUUGUCGGCACUGGCAGUUCGAAGUUUGAGGCAAGCAAUUGGAACUUGGAAGUUCGAAGUUCUUCAAGGAAGUCGCCGCUGCUACUGAAGCUGCCGUUGCCGUUGCCGUUGCUACUGAAGCUGCCGCUGUCGUUGCUACUGAAGUUGCCGCGGCCACCGAAGCUCCAGGUACUCGAAGCUACCACUACCGCUGCUACUGAAGCUGCUGCUACCAUCGAAGCUCAAGGUACUCGAGGCUGCCACCGCCGCUGCCGUUGCCACCGAAGCUGCCGCUUCCAGGAAGCUUUGUUCCUCUCAAUCCUCUUGUGGAGUUUGACGGUCUCUCUCCCUAUUCUCUUAAGGAGUUAAGUCUCUCCGAAUUCUCUGACCGCAGGCAAUAUUUUGUUUCUUCUUUCUUUUUGGAUGAUUAUUUAUUUCUUCUUCCUCUGCAUCGAACUUCAACAUGUGUAGUUACAUAAAUUUCCAGUGCCAUUUAAUACUCUUUGCUUCUGAGAAUUUAAUUUCAACAUGGUUAAAUUCAUUACCUGUAUUUAAUCACUUGCCUCGAACCCGUCAUUGAUAUAUUAGUUCAAAAUGUAGAUAUUGUUGCCAGUGUCUUUUUAAGGUUUCAAAUUGUCAAAUCAAAUUUAGAUUCAUUCACUGAUGAGCUACAAACCUUGGAGCAAUUCUAUGAUGCUUUGUUUAUGUUCAUGACUUUAUGUUUGGUUGUAUUGAAUUGGUCGUUUAUGACUUAUGUUUCAUGGUUUGAUACUUAUAUUUAUGUGUGUGAAAUGAAUUAUGAACUAUGAACAGGUUAUAACUUGUUGAGAUUUAAGAAUGUCUGUACUUAUAUUAUAAUUUACAUGUUUAUUUAAUUAUAUUAUAUAUAUUUUUUAUUAUAUAUUGUGACCCAACGGUUCAACCAGUGACCCACCGGUUGAACCACUGACCCGUCAACCCGGUCCUCUUGCCGGGUUGAUGUCCGGGUUGGUUUUAAUAACUAUGCUUUGAAGUACAACACACGGCCGUCACUCGUUUUGGCUUCUCUUCUGCUGGCCUUUUCGUUAGUUUUAGAGGAAAAACCAUACGCAAUUGUUAUCAAUGGAGUCCUGCGGAUUUCUCUUGAGGAUGCGUAACUAAAUCUUCUUUUUUAGUCAAGGGUUAACUUGAAAACGCGGUUUUAAAUAUCUAUGAGAUCGAAUUAUUUUUAUUUAUUUCUUUUAUUCAUUGGUAUUCAUGCGUUUUCUUGUUUAACUUCUAAUGAUUGUUGUGUUAUUUGAAUGUCAAGGAUCUGAUAUUCGAAUUAAUAUAAUAAUCUACUGCCAAAUUAACCGAUUAAAUCCAUAAUUAUUUAAUUGGUCAAUACCAGUGGCAACUAGCGUGAUUGGUUCUAUGUUAGGAAAAUGUAUGAUCUAAUUUAAACAAACUCUCGUAACGUGUUUAUUAGUUUGAUUUAAAUUUUUCUAAUUUGAUAGGGUGUAAUUUUAUUAUUUAUUUUAUUAUUAAUUUCCCCUAUUACCUGAUCUGAUGUGAAUUAAUUGUAGGAUUCUACUCACUUUUAGUAUUCUGCAUUUAUUUUAGGGAGUAGAGUAAAAAUAUAAUAACUAGUGCCAAUUUAACAGAAAAGGAGUCUAAAUGAUAGGGUUUGUCCCAGAGGCAUUUUGGGAACAAAAGAGACGCAAGCCCUUUUUGGGCAAUUUGGGCCGAAGUCUUCUUUUCUUCUGUGGGCCGCCGCAAUUGAGAUAGAGUGCACGGGAGACGAAAUAGAAAUUGUGCAGAGGAAGGGCACAAUGGGGGGCUUUUUGACCUUUCUUUUGUUUUUGUUUUCUGGGUAGCUUUUGGUCUCCCUGGCAUGUCAGGAAGCAUUUUUUGGUAGCUUUAGCUUUGACUUGUCCUUUUAGCCUUGAGUAGUUUUCUUUUCUCCGUAUGUUAAGAGAAGCAAAAACAAUGGAGUACUUCCAGUAGCUUUUCUUUUCAGUCAGUAUUCCAUCGAAUCGAGUUUACCAUUUCCCAAUUGAUGGCCGCGGUUUCCUCGCCAAUUUCGUAUGGUUUUUUUUCAUCACAUGAACUAACUCUCUCACUCCAGUUAAGGGACAACGGAGGCUUUGAUUCGCCUAAAAAUUAUGAGAUCGAUUUAAUUUUAUCUUUUUCUUUUAUUUAUUGGUAUUCACAUAUUUCUUGAUUAUAGUACUUGUGAUUAUUGAAUUAAUUGGUUGUCUUGGAUUCGGAUAAUUAGUUAAUUUAAUAAUUUAUUGUGAAUUGAGGUAUUAAAUUUGUAAUUGUUUAAUUGCCUCAAAAUAGUGACAACUGGCAUGAUUAAAUUUGUGUCAGGAGAAUAUGCGGAUUAAUCUAAAAUAACCCUGGUAGCGCGUUAUUUGGUUAGAAUAGGGCUCCUCUAAUACGUAAGACAAUUGAAAAAUUAAAUCUUACGGGCGUAUCUAGGAUUAUUUUCUAAUUAGAGCAGUGAUUAAUGGGCGUACCUUGAUCACCGACACAGUAAGGAGGGGUUGACUGUCAUCGCUUGUUUGACAGUUAUAACCUAUUUAUUAAUGAAUAAUCGGAAUUGCCUUUGUUUCAAUGAUCAAUUAGGUGAACCAUUGCUGAAGUUAUUCCUUGACUAGAUCCUUAAUUAUCAUUCAUUUGAUUUUAGUAAAUAGUUAUUUAAUUUCUAGUUGGCUAUUUUAUUUUUAUUAUUUUUCUUUUAGUUGAAUUGCUUAAAUUAUCACCCCUGAUAUAAAAACACCCCCUUGUCACUGUGAAUUUGAAAAGAAACAAUUACUUCCAAUUCAUGUGGAUUUGACCCUACUCACCGCUAUCUACAGAAAUUACUUUUAGUUUGAGCAGAUUUUAUUAUUACACAGGCUGACAACCUGUCAAUUUUUUGCGCCGUUGCCGGGGAACUGGUGUCAGUUAUUUGUUUCUUUUUAAAUUAAUUUUUAUUCCAAUUUUCUGGUGCUUUUCGAGUGUAUGCCUCGUUCUUCUCGUACAGGUGAAUUAAUUUUCGACCCCGAGGUAGAGAAAAUCGUACGCAGAACGAGAAAAGAGACUAGACAGCUUAGAGAAGAGCACUCCGGUGCCGCAUCUCAGAGACCUGAGCUAGAAGUGGAACCAACAGACUCGCUUGGUGAUUCUUCAAGUGAUUCGGAUCGGGAAGAAGUCACUAUGGCUAAUGCCCGAACAUUAAUCUGUCAUAAUUCUUAAUGCAAUCAAUAAACUAAAUCCUACGAUCAUACCUAGGGGUAUAUCUCUUGAUUAGGGAAAUAGUGAACGGUCGUACCUUGACAAUCGAAAAAGUAAGGAAAAAUUGAUUGUUUAUUGCAUGUAUGACAAUUAUAACUAAUCUAUUAAUGAGUAAUUGAAUUAUCUUUACAUCGAUGAUCAGUUGAAUGGACCGUAUCUGAAAAGUUGCACCUUUGACAAGAGUUAUAUCUAUUGUUGAUUCAUUCAUAUUUAUUUUCGUGUGUUACUUUGAUUUAGUUAAUUAUUUAUUUUUAUAUUUUUAUAAAAUCCCCCGUACGUUGAACUCAAAGAGAAACAAAUUUCUUCAAUCUCUGUGGAUUCGAUCUUACUUACCACUAUAUACACAAUUUAUACUUUAUUGAGUAGGUAUUUAUUAUUGUACAGGUUCGACACCUGUCAAUUUUUUGGAGCCGUUGUCCGGGACUGGCAUUGGCUAGUUAGUCUCUUUUUGAGAUUAUUUUAUUUUUAAUUUCUGACAUUUUUCUUGUUUAUGCCUCGCUCUUCUCGUACAGGCAAAUUAUUUUUCGAUUUUGAAGUAGAGAAGACUGCGUAUAAAACAAAGAAGGAGACCAAACAACACAGAGAAUAGCAGUUAGUCACUGUAUUUCAGAGGCACAAUCCAGAAGUCGAACUGACGAAUUCUUUUGAUGACACCUCGAGUGAUUCUAAUCAAGAAGACGUCGAAAAUGGCUAAUACUCAAAUAUUAUGAAAGUUGGCUGCUCCAGACUUAAAUCAGCAGCCACUAUGCAUUACCUUUCCGAAUUUAAAUGAUAAUGCCCCUCUUGAAUUAAAGUCUUGUCUAAUUCAUUUUUUACCCUUUUUAAUGAUUUUUCAGGUGAGGAGCCCUACAAGCACUUGCAAGAAUUUGAUGUAGUAUGCACAAGUACGAAACCCCCGGAAAUUACUGAGGAGUAGAUAAAAAUGGGAGCAUUUCUCUUUUCCCUCAAGAAUGUAGCAAAAAAUUGUUUGUACUAUCUGCCACCAGAUAGUAUAACAACUUGGGAACAGUUAAAGAAGAAAUUUUUGAAAAAAUAUUUUCCUGCGUCUAGAGUUGUCAGUUUGAAGAAGGAAAUAUGUGGCAUUAAAUAGCAAUCGGAGAAGUCUCUCCAUGACUACAGGGAGAGAUUCAAGAAGCUGUAUACUAGAUGCCCCAAUACCAGAUUAUCGAGCACCUCCUGAUUCAAUAUUUCUUUGAAAAUUUGCUAUAUACAAAUAGAAGUCUUAUAGAUGUUACCAGUAGAGGUACUUUGGUGAAUAAGACUCCUAAAAAAACUUGAAAUUUGAUAGAAAUGAUGGCAAAAAAUUCUCAACAAUUUAGCACAAGAGAGGAUGUUCUUACUCGUCUAGUAAAUGAGGUAAAUGUCUCAUCAAUUCAACAAUAAUUAUCUGAAUUAACUUUGGUUAUUUGACAAUUGGCUGUAGAAAAUUUGUACUAGGCCAAAACAUGUGGUAUUUGUAAGGACACGAAUUAUUCUACGAUUGGUGCUUAGUGUUACAAGAUGAAGGAGUUGAACAGGUAAAUAUGACUAGUCACGUGCCCGCACCAAAAGAGCAGAAUGAUCCAUAUUCUAAUACAUAUAACCUAAGUUGGAGGGAUCAUCCAAACUUUAUCUAUGGAGGGAACAGACAAUAGAACUGCAUGCUGAAUAGAUAACAGAGGUACCAACAACAAUACCAAUCUCGACCGCAUCCUUCUUCUUCCAAUUCGAGUCUUUCUUUAGAAGACAUGAUGAAGGAAUUAAUUGCAAACAUUACACGGUUCCUAUAGAAAAUGAAUUCUGACAUGCAGGAGAUACGUAAUCAAAUAAAUCAGAAGGCAAUAUCAAUUAACCAUCUGGAAUCCCAAUCUCAAGAAAAAUUGUCAUUUCAACCUGAAGUCAAUCCGAAGAAUGUAAGUGUAAUAACCUUAAGGAUCUGGAAGGAAGUUGAGGGACAAGAACUCGUGACUUCGAAAGAUAAAAAUGAAGAAUGGAUUGAGAAAGGGCUUGAAAAGGAAGAAAUGAGAAGUAUGAAUUCAAAGAUAAUUCCUGAUUCUAUAAUUAAAGUUAGAACUAACCCACCACCUUUUCCGAACAAGUUAGAGAAACUAAAAACGCAAGGUAAGGAAAACGAGAUCUUGGAGAUAUUUCGAAAGGUGGCAAUCAAUAUCCCUUUGUUAGACGUGAUCAAACAAGUGUCAAAAUACGCUAAAUUCUUGAAGAACUUGUGCAUCAACAAAAAGAAAUUGAGAGGGAAUGAGCAGAUUGUGGUACAUGAGAAUGUCUCAGUGAUUUUACAAAGAAAACUACCGCUUAAAUGCGGGAAUCCAAGUAUGUUUACUAUCCCCUGUAAUAUUGGACAUUUUAAAAUUAAAAAUGCUAUACUAGAUUUAGGAAUUUCUAUUAAUGUGAUGCCUAAAUCAAUUUAUGAUUUCCUAAAUUUAGAACCUUGAAAGAAUUAGGGGCAAUAAUUCAAUUGGCUAAUCGUAUAUUUGCUUAUCCAUAUGAGAUAAUUGAGAAUGUUUUAAUUCAAGUAGAUAGACUAAUUUUUCCUGCUAAUUUUUAUGUAAUUUACAUGGAUGAUAGAAAUGCUCCAAUUCCAACACCUAUUAUAUUAGGAAGGCUCUUCUUGGGUACUACCCAAACUAAGAUUGAUGUUAGCAAGGGUAUUCUUACAAUGGAAUUUAAUGGAGAAUUAGUCCAUUUUAAUAUUUUUGAUAUAAUGAAAUAUCUUGUUAACUCUUAUUCUAUGUUUGUCAUUCAUGCUAUUGAUCCCUUUGUAUGAGAAUUUCCUAAAUUUAAUUGCAGGGUAAGUUGAAAGUUGCUGCGAACAAACAUCAGAAGUUGAAAGUAACUUAUGAUGAAAAAAUGGGCAAAAAGUUAAAGAAGGUGGUUGCCCGUAAUGAUGAUCUGAAUCUUGAAAAGAUGUCACAAAUUGCAAGAAAUCUCGAAUUACAAUCGGAUUGAGAAGUGAUACUCCAUGUCUAACCAAAGAUAUUAAAAAAGGCGCUGAUUGGGAGGCAACCCAAUUCAUUUUUUUAUGUGUUUCAAUAUGUUUUUUUUGUAGAUUUUUCACAUUUGGUGGUUUAAUUUUUCGUUAUUAAUAAUUAGCAGACUUCCUCUUGAUAGGACACAUUCGCGCCUAGAGGACAAGUGGUAAUACGAUAAUUUUCCAUUCCAUCGUCAGAAGCAUUUGGACUAACAUGACGUGCCCACGCUUAUUUGCUUGGAGAGCUCAUAUUUCGAUUUUGGAGUAAACUUAGCAACAUGAUGCGCCCGCGCCUAGAGAGCACGUGGUAACUAGUAAUGCACAACAUCUUAUCCUAGGGAAACCAUAAAUAUUAUUUUCCUUUUUCUUUUCUAUUUCCUUUUUCUUUCUUUCUUUUUCUUUUUCUUUUUCUUUCUCUUUUCUUUCUUUCUUUCUUUCUUUCUCUCAUUUUUCUUUCUUUCCCCCCUAUUUCUUUCAUAGCCACCCGACUUUAAAACCCUGGUUGCCACCACUCAUUUCCGCUGUCCAUUGCUGGUUCAUCGUUUAUCGCGGAUUGCUCCCACCAUUCACAGGCCACCACCGCCAUCCAUUCCUUGUCAGUCGUUCGCUGUCACUUCACGCUGCCCUUUCCAUUCGUAGCUGUCCAUGACCCUUCUCAAUUAUCAGGAAAAUUGUGUUGUCCCUUUUACUUUCUAUUCUAUUUUUUACCUCUUACAUUGAGAACAAUGUAAGAUUUAGGUGUGGGGGGAAGGAAGUAGUAUAUUGGUAGUAUAAUAGAAAAAUGCAAGUGUAAGUAUUUUUUUUGAAAUUUUUUGUUCGAAUUUGUCGAAUUUUAUCCAAUUUUUGCCACUUCUUGUACAUUUUUGUGGUUAUUCUUGAUAAGCAAUGGUUAGUUGUCUCAAAUUUAUAUGCUAAUGUGUCAAAUAUGAUGUGGUGAAAUCUGCAGGUGUCUCUAUGGUGAAUAUUUGUGAUUUUGUGACUUUUACAAUUUUUGAUUAAGUUUUCUAAGCAUUGUAUUUGCCUGACAUUUUUUCAUGUAAAUUGGUUCACCUAUCAAUCUUAGUUCUCCAUAUUUGAAAACUAAAAUAAGCUUGUGUGGUCUUUAAUUUUAUUUUGGGUACUUAUUUGUGAAUAAUGUUUAGUUAUAUUCCAUUAAUAUCGUUGCCUAGUAACCGAGAGUUUUUACCACAAGUGUUGACUUUCACAUUAAAAAGUGACAAUAACUAUGAGUAUGUGAUUUUUAAGCGAUGAUGGCUGAGUAACCAAGAUCCUUCAUUUUGUAGAUGUCGGAGUUCACAUCAAAAGGCUUGAAUGGUUAAGGACUAAACUUUUUUCCGAAACAAAAAGAAAAAAAUGAGAGUUUAAGUAUGGGGAUAUUUUUUAAAAAAAAGAUGAGCUAAUAGUGAAAAAUAUGCAAGUGUGUGAAUAAUUGUUUUAGCCUGCUGAUCCAUGAGCUUAAUGUUGAAAUUUUGCUUAAUAGUUGAACUAUUUGCUGGCGAAUUUUGAUUGAAUAUUUUAUAUCCUUAGAUUGGUUAGCCCGAAAUUAGAAGAGUUCUUAGUUUUAAAAGUUAAUCAGAGAGAUAUCUCUUAGAAACUAAUCACUAAUAUUUGACAUGUGUUUUAAAUGUAUUUCGACAAUGGAUGAUUUGAAUGAUAAUCAUUAUUUGAACUUGAUUGUUUCAAUUGUUGUUUCUCGUACUUGAGAACAAACAUGGUCUAAGUGUGGGGGGAAUUGAUAGUGUGUAAAAUUACUAUUUAAUUUAUGAUUAUUUUUCCCUUGAUUUUAGUCAAAUAUUAUUUUAAUUAAUGGAUUCUACUUAUAUUUGGUUAAUACUGCUAAUUAUAAGAAAAUGAGUAAAACGUGAUUAAAAGGGACAAUUUUUCAGUUAAUUUGAUGGUGGCACGUUCGGAUUCGGUUUUCAAGUCCAAAUCAAACUUAUGGCAGUUUUUAGAGGAAGAUUUUAAGGACUUUAAUUUUCAUUAUUAGUCUUAGUAUUGGAUUAGGAAACUUGGAAUAUUAUCUUUAAUAGUUUCCUUUUUAUAUUUUGGGGAACAUAUCUUAUUAUUAGUAGUUGAGAUUAAGUAGAAAACAAGAGGAAUUAGGAAAGCCGGAUUCCUAUUUGAUUAGGAAUCGGCCAGCAACAAUUUCGAAUGUGACUCUUUGAAGUACAAUACACGGCCGUCACUUGUUUUGGCUCCUCUUCUGCUGGCCUUUUCGUUAGUUUUAGAGGAAAAAUCAUACGCAAUUGUUAUCAAUUGAGUGCUGUGGAUUUCCCUUAAGGAUGUGUAGCUAAAUUUUCUUUUCUAAUCAAGAAUUAACUUGAAGAUGUGGUUCCAAACAUCUGUGAAAUCGAAUUAUUUUUAGUUAUUUAUUUUAUUCAUUGGUAUUCGUGCAUUUUCUGAUUUAAAUUAUUAUGAUUAUUUUGUUAUUUGAAUGUCAAGGAACCAAUAUUCGAAUUAAUCUAAUAAUCUACUGCCAAAUUAAUUGUUUAAUUGGUCAAUACCAGUAGCGACUAGCGUGAUUUGUUUCAUGUUAGGAAAACAUAUAAUUUAAUUUAAACAAACCCUCGUAGCGUAUUUGUUAGUUAAGAUUGGGUUUUUCUAAUUCUUAAUGUAAUCGAAAAAUUAAAUCCUACGAUCAUACCGAGAGUUAUCUUUUGAUUAGAGAAAUAGUUAACGGUCGUACCUUGACUAUCGAAAAAAGUAAGAAAAAAUUGGUUGUUUAUCGCGUGUAUAACAAUUAUAACCAAUCUAUUAAUGAAUAAUUGAAUUAUCUUUGCAUUGAUGAUCAGUUGAAUGGACCCUGUUUAAAAAGUUGCACCUUUGACUAGAGUCGUAUCUAUUAUUGAUUCAUUCAUAUAUAUUUUCGUGCAUUGCUUUAAUUUAGUUAAUUAUUUAUUUUAUAUUUUUAUAAAAUCCCCCAUAUGUUGAACUCAAGGAGAAACAAAUUUUCUCAAUUCCUGUGGAUUCGACUUUACUUAACACUGUUUACAAAAUUUAUAUUUUAUUUGAAUAGAUAUUUUUUAUUGUACAAACUCGACACAUGUCAUAAUUGUACGUGUCUACCAAGUUUUAGAUGAAACCUUUCUGUAAGACUGUAACUUGGUAGAAAUCAUUUCUUCAAAUUCCCCAAAAUUAACUAUUCUUGUAAGAACCAAAUAUAAAUCUUGCAAUUCACAUUCAGCCCAAUAGCAACUUUUUCCACUGAUUCUGAUACUCAAUUUUGAAUUUUCACCAUCACAUUUCAUGGAAAAAUUUUUAAAACACAGUCUUCCAAAUAUUUUUCCUAACAUAUACCCAUAAUAAACAAAGUGGUACACUUUAAUAUGUAUAUGUGUAUAUAUAUAUAUAUAUAUAUUAAAAUUGGGUAUCGUUGAGGAGGGGAGCUCCCGCCAAAGUUUAGAAUGGUGCGGACCAGUGAAUUAUUGCAACUGUAAAUAACGAUUUGCAUCAACAAUUCUACACCGAAAUCACCUCAACCAAAUGAUCUGCCGAGCCAUUGCAGCGGCAGCCGCACCUCAACGCGACCGAAACUUCUUCUUAAGCCUACUCAAAAGCACCACAAAUCUCUCUCAGCUCAACCAAACCCACGCCCAGGUGAUUCUCAACGGCCUGAGCAAAGACCUCAUAGCCAUCACCAAGCUAACCCACAAACUCUUCGACGUCAAAGCCAUAUCCCAGGCCAAGCUUCUCUUCACCUCACUCUCCAACCAAAUCCCGCCUGAUAAGUUUCUCUACAAUGUGCUUAUCAGAGGCUUCUCCCAGAACAAAUCCCCGCUUGAUUCUCUGUCUGUUUAUGCUCAUCUUCGCGAAAAAACCACCCUUAGACCGGAUAAUUUUACGUAUGCUUUCGUUGUUUCGGCUGUUUCUUCACCCGAACUCGAAAAAGUUGGGAUUUUGCUUCAUGGGCACGUGAUAGUUUCUGGGUUUAGCUCGGACCCCUUUGUGGGUUCUGCUUUGGUGGAUAUGUAUAUGGGCUUCUCGGAAGUUAGAUGCGCGUAUAAGGUGUUUGAAGGAAUUCCUGAGAGGGAUACUGUCCUUUGGAACACUCUGGCUUCUGGGUUGGUGAGGAAUUGCUUUUUUUAUGAGGCGGUUUGUACUUUUCGCGAUAUGGUUGUGGAGGGAACUGAGUUUGAUUCAACUACAUUGGCUGUGGUCCUUACAGCUACUGCUGAGCUGCAGGAGUUGAGAACUGGAAUGAUGAUUCAGGCUCUGGCACUGAAGGUUAGGUGUCAUUUUCAUGAUUAUGUUCUUACGGGAUUAGUUUCUUUUUACUCAAAGUGUGGAGAUGUUUCAACUUCUAGAUUGUUGUUUGGACUCUUAAAGAAGCCAGAUUUGAUAGCAUAUAAUGCCAUGAUUUCUGGGUUUACAGGUAAUAACGAGACUGAAUCUGCCGUAAGGCUUUUCAAAAAACUGCUCGUUUUGGGUGAAAAGGUUAAUUCGAGUACCAUUGUUGGAUUGAUUCCUGUGUCUAUUCCAUUUGGUCAUUUGGAGCUUGCGCAGACAAUCCAUGGGUUCUGUGUAAAGUCUAAUAUGGUUUUUAAUUCUUCUGUUUCAACUGCGCUGCUAACUAUUUAUACGAGGCUCAAUGAGAUGGACUGCGCACGACGACUUUUUGAUGAGUCCCCUGAUAGAAGUUUGGCAUCCUGGAAUGCAAUGAUCUCUGGUUAUGCACAGAAUGGAUUAACGGAAAUGGCUAUAGCUCUUUUCCAAGAAAUGCAGAUGCUUGACAUUCAUCCCAAUCCAGUUACAAUCACCAGCAUUCUUUCAGCAUGUGCUCAACUGGGAGCUCCAAGUCUGGGAAAAUGGGUCCAUGAUCUGAUAAAGAAGGAGAAUUUUGAGUCUAACAUCUAUGUUUCAACUGCUCUGGUUGAUAUGUACGCAAAGUCUGGAAGCAUUGAAGAGGCUCGGAGGUUGUUCAAUGCCAUGACUGAGAAGAAUGAUGUGACCUGGAAUGCAAUGAUUUCUGGAUAUGGACUUCAUGGUCAUGGGCAUCAAGCAAUAUCACUAUUUCAUGAGAUGUUAGAUUCUGGAGUCACACCAACAGGAAUUAGUUUCCUUUCAGUUUUGUAUGCCUGCAGUCAUGCCGGCUUGGUAGAAGAAGGCAAAAAAAUUUUCGAAUCUAUGGUCCAUGAUCAUGGUUUUACGCCCUCAGCUGAGCAUUAUGCCUGUAUGGUUGACCUCCUUGGCCGAGCUGGAAAAUUACAGUAUGCUUUGGAAUUUAUAAAUCAGAUGCCUAUUCAUCCAGGUCCUGCUGAGUGGGGUGCACUAUUAGGUGCUUGCAUGAUUCACAAGGACAGUAACCUUGCUCGCUUUGCUUCUGAUAAGUUGUUUGCAUUGGAUCCUGAAAGCAUAGGAUACUAUGUUUUACUCUCGAAUCUGCACUCAGUUGACCGUAAUUAUCCUCAAGCUGAAUCGGUGAGGCAAGUGAUUAAGAAAAGGAAUCUUGCAAAGACCCCUGGCUGUACUUUGAUUGAGGUGAAUGGGCAUCCAUAUGUUUUUAAGUCUAGUGACCGGUCUCAUCCACAGACAGCUGCAAUUUAUGCCAUGCUGGAAAAGUUAAUGGGAAAGAUGAUAGAAGCAGGAUUUCAGACGGACACUGUUAUAGCUUUGCAUGAUGUAGAGGAUGAAGAGAAGGAACUGAUGGUGAAGGUCCACAGUGAGAAGUUGGCUAUUGCUUUUGGACUCAUAACAUCUCAACCAGGAGCAGAGAUCAGGAUUAUCAAGAACCUCAGGGUCUGUUUAGACUGCCACAAUUUCACAAAAUUUGUAUCGAAAAUCACUGAAAGACUCAUUGUUGUUAGGGAUGCUAACCGAUUUCAUCAUUUUAAUGAUGGUCUCUGUUCAUGUGGUGAUUAUUGGUAAAUCACCUCCUAUUUGCCCACAAAGAUUGAAAGGUUGGCACAUGGGAGGUUGUUUUACAGAAGUGCUAAAUCAGGAGUGCGUCAUCCUCCAGUGCUUAUUUUCAGAUGUACAUAGUGAGUAAAUCUUUUCUUCUUGUUGUUGGCAUCAUGCAUUUUUUUUUUUUAAAAGAAAAUCCACUAAUAUUGUGUAGAAUAACAUGAUGAUUAUCUGAUCACCUUAUUCACUUGAAGCUUCGGGAUGGAACAAUUGUUUCAUGUUCACUUUCCUGUACACAACAGUUGAGUGAAAGUCUUAAUCAGACUUUAAAACUCUGAUGGUGUUAUUUCUUAGUUCUCUUAAGAAUUAAUCUGUUUUGGACUCUGGUUUCAGAGGAAGCAUCUAGCAAUUUUUGCAAGAACAUGAAGAAGGCUCGCAAUAGAAAAGGAAAAGUACUUCUCUCAGGAACAAUGCUUAUCAUGUACAUCUUAACUCACAUUAACGUAGUGCUGUUGGUUCAAGAUGAGUAGAUGUUCGAUUUUGAAUGAAUUAAAGGUGGAAGAUUAUUUAUGUUAGCUGCUAUCCUGGCAUUUGGGUCUUAUGCAUCUGUCGUGUUGGAAGUUUUAUCUCUAGAGGAAUUUUCUUUGAUUUGUUCCGGAUAGAUAUCUUCUUUUCAUAAAAUUUUGAUGUCUUUGCUGAAAAACUUCCCAAUUGUUCUUUAGGCAAAGAUCUCUUUUCUCAUGAAUAUGAGCUAAAUCACAGAAUUAGUACCUGAUAUUUCUUUAGGGCAAUGAUCCCAAUUAUGUAUUUGCUUAUUAUACAUGCUUGUCAUUUUCCUUGAAAAACAUUCAAAGAGUUUCUGAAUAUCAUCACGCCUUCUUUGCUCACAGGACUUGUUAAAGUAAGUUUCAUUUUCAAGGUCAGAGGAAAUAGAAGAAACAAAGCAAAGGGGAAAAUGGGAAACACGUUGAUCUCCAAGCUGCAAACUUUUUUAAUAGAAAACUUCUUAAGCACGCCUAUGUUUGUCAUAUACAAAAUUGAGUAUCAUUCUUUUGCUAAACAAAAAUUUCACAGGUGACUUAUUCUUUCUUUUGUAAUUCCUCUUUGCUUGGUCAUACAUUACACCUUCAACAGCAGACUGUAUACGCAUCUGUCCACAGAAUGCAGCAUUCACUUGAAAAUUGAGAUUGUUUCAGCAAUUGAUGCCACAUUGUUUUACGUCAGGACCCUUGGUUUUCAGUAUAAACGGGUCAAUUCGGACCCAGAGCAAGGAAAAUAUAGAAGCCAAAAGUACCGACCAGAUGAUGACAAUUGUGGGCGUCCUAUUCUGCUUACCCAUGAGACCUUUAAGGAAUGGAUAGAGAUGGACAAUCACCCAGAAGGCAAAGAAGAGCUUUCCAAAUAAAGGACCCCAUGAUUGAGAUCCAUUGUUUAUGGCAUCGGAGAUCCCAGCAACAACACCAACUAGGUUGAUUACUAGAAUAGUGGUUGGUGGGAUGAGCAGGGUAGUCCAUUUGAAGGCAUAUAACUCAGCAAAGUCAUCGUCAUCUGAUGCCUUAGAUGUGACAGUGAAGUUGGUGUCAAUCCCAGCCAAAACCUUUAGAAGACCUUGUAUGACAGCAAACAGGUGAGCAGAGAUACCACCAAUAACCCAAAAUUGCUCAUUUCUCCACCACUCCUCAAUGCUAACUCCACUCCACCUUAGCUCAAGGAUGCCAGUAGUGAAAAUUGAGAGGAAGAGCGCAAUGAAGAAUAGACUUGCAAAGGUGCUUAUCUGAAUCAAGGAGAACGAAGACAUAUUUGCAGCAGUCAGAAGGAAGCAUAUAGACUUUGUAAAAUGAAAAUCAUUUGGGAGCUCUAGUUCUGUCAUCUGCCUGCAGUUAAUAAAUUUUAUCAGCAGAGAUAAGGAUCAUGACGUUAUUACCUCUGGCAUUAUGAACUUUCCUGUCAGUAAGCAGAUUGCGGGGAGAGUGCAGUAAGCAAGCAGAGGUAAAGAGGUGAAGGGGUAGACAGUUGUGUUAACAUAUGCAAAUCGCUCAAGCCACUUUAGGUUUCCUCCUUUAUAGCCGUACCAGGCAGGGCUAUGUCGACUGAAAAAGAUCUCAACAGAACCAAGAGCCCAGCGAAGCACCUGGUUGAGACGAUCUGAUAGGUUGAUCGGAGCAGAGCCCUUAAAUGCAGCUAGUUUUGGCAUACAGUAAACUGACCUCCAACCACGACAAUGCAUCUUGAACCCUGUUAGGAUAUCUUCUGUGAUAGAGCCAUAAAUCCAACCCAACUGCAUGUUGCAAAGCCCUUGUACUUAAUAUAUGUGUGGUAAAAGCAAGACGCAUCAAUGAAAAUCAAAUGGCUAUGUUCUAGAUGGUUGGCUACACAUGGCACCACAUCCACAUGGAAGGUUAAUGUAGCAAUGAGGGUUUUGCAAAGAUUUAUAAAUUGCAUGAUUUACUAGAAAUUCAUUGAUGUGAGUUCAUGCAUCAAUUAGUUAACGAGUACGAACUUUUGGGUUACAGAUGUGGUUAGCUUUGGCUGUGUUAAGCCAUUACCUCAGUACCCCAUUCUGUUUUGUCUUCGUAGCCGCAGCUGAUCACAUGGAUAGCUUCUUUGAGCAGCGCAGCUGGGCUGGAUGAAGGUGGAACGCCACCUUCAAUCAUUAAAGUUGAAGUCACAAAAAUUGCUGACUGUCCGAACUUCUUUUCGAAAUUCAUUUGAGACAUCAGUAUCUCUUUAUCGUCAUCAAAUCCUGAGGAACAAACAUAAUAAUAAUUUAUGAAUUCAGAUGAAACUUAAAUUAGAAAUAUAUUCUUCAAUCCAGCAGUUAGAUGAGAGGCAAAGAAUGUCAAGCACCUUGAACUGCACUGUCUCCAUUGACGCCAUGUUUAGUGUAUUGGGGAAGCUUCUUACGCCGCCCAAAACAGGGGCAACAGUCACAGCUCACCAUUUUUGGGCGCUUAGAACGCUUUGGUGGUUCAUAGCCAUAUAAAGCCUGCCUUCGGAAGACACAUCCUGUGCCAACAUAGACAGGACCUUGGAUUCCAUCAAGCCCUUUCAUGUUAAUCUGCCGAGAAGAAACAUAUGUACAUCAAGAAGGAAACAGGCAUGAGGAACAAAUGCAUGUGUUGGAGGUUGUCUUGUUUGUACCCUAUAUAUCGUAGAAGCUGAAGCUAUGAACUUUUCUCAUGACUUGCCAAAAAUGAUAAUGUGUUAAAAUUAUGGUUUUGCUGGGACUUACAUCAAAAAAGACCGUGUUUCUGUUGGCAUAUCUGUCAUGUCUAUCUAUUCCAUCAAAUCUCUGUGGGAAUUGCACAUAGCAAACCUUCUUUCCAAGUUGUGGAUCCAUCAAGAAGCACAUUGCUUCCCUGACAGCCUUGCUGUUGUUUACGUAGUGGUCACAAUCCAGGUUCAGCAUGAAUGGAGCAUUUGUAAGAACACCAGAGACACGGACCUGUAAAGUUUUUCUCAAGUGAGACAUUUCUGAACAUAAUGGCUGAAUGUGAGAUUUUUAUUUUUUGUAAAUUUAAAUGGUCAAAUUAUCUUCAAACAAGAAUGCAUUGGACAAAGACAAAUAUUGGUGGAGAGAAGAAGAUGCAGGAUGGUUGUAUUUAGUUAUGUGCAAGGUCAUUGAUGAUCUUUGUGAUCUUUACCAGGGCGUUCUCGGCACCAGCUUUUUUGUGAUGCUGGAAACCAGGCCUUUUCUCACGGGAAACAUAAACAAGCCGAGGAAGUUCAUUUCCUUCAACGUCGGGGCCGCCGCUAUGACCUAGAAAGACUUGAAUCAUACCAGGAUGAUCCUUAGUAUUGUUUCCUGGCCAUGGUGUUCCAUCUUGCAUGAUCCACCCCUCUGGAGGAACUUUCAUAGCCUUAGCCACCAUAGCAUUGAUUCUAACCUUAAAUUCUUCAUACUCUCUCUGUCAUAAAACAGUACAACAUGUUAAGUUCAAAAUACAUAACCUCUUGUUUUCGUCUCUUCUUUUAAACCUCUUUUAAGUGUUUAAAAUUAUACCUUCAUGGCUCUUCGCUCCUUCACAAAGGUCGGCUGCACUUUAUCCUUCAGAUAAUCAAUCUUCAGCGAGAAGUACAUCUCAGGUGCUCGAGGCUCUAUAGAGAAUUUCUUGCAGAAGGGAACCCAUUUUCGAGCAAAUUCUGCAGUUUCUGAUAGUGAUUCAAAGGUACACAUUGAAGCUCCAUCAUCAGAUACAUAGCAUGAGAUUUUCUCAACGGGAUAGUCCAUUGAUAAAAUUGAGAGAACUGUAUUAGCGGUAACAAGAGGAGGUUCCUUCAUUGGAUCCACGGUACUGACAAAGACAUCAAUGGGGGCAAGCAUAUUAGGUUCACCUUCCCUCUCGUACCUGCAUUAGAAAUUGACCAACAUUAUAGCUUCAAACAGUGAAAAAUUUGUAUCUGUUGCAGCAUUCCUGUCUUCUUGAAUAUUUCGAAAGAAACGCUGUGAGGUUUAGAGGGAUUAUUGCUCUGAUCCAAAUUAAAGGUAUAAUUAUUCAGAUUUUCUAUGGGUCUGUAAAACUAUAAAUUUCACUUAAUCGUCUCCUUUACUACGGAGACAUUUUGUUGAACAGGAAUAUUGAUAUUGUGAAUCAUAUAUAAUUAUGUAUUGGUUUUGACAGAUUUAAGUCGAUUCAUUACAGCUGUUUUUCUUUCACAUUAUUACGACUAUGGGGUAAUCUCUCCCCAAGAUUCACAAUAUUUUCUUACCAAAGGUGAUUGUGCCAACUUCUUUAAACAUCUCCUGUUUUCGUGGUCUCUGAUGUCAGUUGCUUCGCUACAGGGUUCUAGAAAAUCCUUACCAGCAUAAGCACAAACUUAAGGAACCAAUGCUGUACGAGUUUAGUUUUUGAAAACCAAAUUUUCUCUUUGCUCCUACAAUUUCACUCUUUUUCUGAGCUCUAGUUACUGAAGAAAUUUAAUCUGGAGCUCUGAUUCCUUUUUAGGACUUUAUAUUACAACUGAUUAAAGUUUAUUCUAAAGCAUUUAAAUGAGAUCAGAACUGAAAAAUGUAAAAUUUCUGACUGCUAAUAUUAUGUACAUAAUUAUGUCAACCUGAGAGAAAGGCGAUCCAGGUAAGUCUCCCGAUCGAUUGGAAACCACUUGGGAAACUGAUCGAGAAUCCAUGAGAACGCAAACCAGAUCUCACAUACAAUUGAAGUGAGCCAGAGGCCAAGUGCAUCAUGCACAGGGUUCAGGAUUCUAUAUCGGAGGAAGAUUGCCAGAACCACGAGCCUAGCCACAAUCACCAUCCGGUAAGGAUUUACCAAGCUUGAUGCGAUUGGUACUUUCCUUGACAGUGGCUGUCUCGAUUCAUCUACCCUGCAUUUUUGUAAAAAUAUUUAAACAUGAGCAAAGACAUCCUUCGCCAGCAACUGGAACAGUUUACACUUUUUGAAAAAUCUAUGCAAUGCUUCCUGUCAUGCAAACUACAUUGAAUACAAUUAGAUCUGGAAAAUUGAUGUUGUUCAUCUAAGAAUAACAAUAAAAAUGUGUGCUUGAUUCAAAGGACUCCGGUGUGGUAGUUGGCUUUUAGACCAUAGCCACAAUUACUGCAUUUCAAGUUUAAUAUAACCUUUCCCCUUGUAAGACAAAGGAAAAUGGCUAUUGCGCUUUUCUUGGUCAGAGAUUCAUAAGAAACUACGUUAAGAUGAAGUUGGAUACAUACAUAGCCAUGUCAGCGUCUGCAGCAUGAUCAGCUUCUGGCCCUAUAUUUCCUUGCUGCAUCUUCCAAUCUUCCAUUCUUUCUUUCCAACCUCCCUCUUUCUUGUCAUCCCAUCUUGCACUUCCUGUAUUUUCAUCUCAUUGAUACAAUGUCAAUAAUAAGAUUAAGGUACAUACAUCAGUUCGAGAGAAUCAUAUGGGCCGCAUGUGGAGUAUACCAGGCUCAGAAGCUGGAUAUGGGUGCACACGUUUGUGUAGGGAGGAGCCGAACAUCUGCUCUCCGUUAGCAUGAGUCGAUAUAGGAAUUUCACCACUCACCUGCAUGCAUAACUACAUGUCAGUUUUUUUUUUUUUUUUUCCAAAUCACCACAGCAAGUUUUUACUAAACCAUGCUAGUACUUUAAGCCAAUUCGUUCUACCAGAUAUCAUGAAUGUACACUGUAAAUUGGUACAACUACUUCAUGCAUGAUACGCAAGCUCUGAUAAAGUAGUAUGUUUUUCUCUUACAGGCCGAGAGCGGAAACCAGCAAUGACAGGAGGGUAUUGGGCAGCUUCUUCGUCUUCUGGUCCUCGUCCAUAACUCAUCUUUCCAUGUAGCAUUGCUUCAGCAAUUUUAGUAUUUUUGUUUCGUUCAUCAUCAAUUUUAAAUUCAUGUUCAAUGUCAUCGAUAUCUUCCUCAUCAUCAUCGCCCUCCACCCUUGGACACCCUUCAAGAAAGAAGAUCAAAAUAAAAGUCAGAGAAAGGUCAAAUUAAUCCUGAAUAGAUUUCAUCUCAAGAGAGUGGCAAAGUUGAAGCAUUAGGAUGUGUUAAUGCUAUUGUUGCAUAGGGUUUGAGUUUUCUUUGAGGACAAGUCUAUAUUCCUUUACCUUUGAGUCGUUUGUAUCUUGUUUUGCACUGAGGGCAAAGUUGAGUGCCUUCUCUCCUCUCAUACUCAUAGCAUGGCCGGCAGACUGGAAAACCACACUCAUUACAAGCCACGAACAAGUCUCCAUCGACUGUGAGGCCAAUCUCAUCACCACAUAUCUCACAAACUUGACCGGUUAAAUCUUUCAAGGGCUUAGGCUGCAAUGAACAUGAUAAAAACCAACGAAAACUUAGUUACACAGCAUACUUAAUCACACUAAGCAAAAUUAAUGCUUAGACUUUACAAUUCCAAUCGCUCUGUGUAUCUACCUCUUCAUGGCCAUGAAUGACAACAAGCUCGUUCCGGUUGUGAGAACCAGCGACAAGUCCUGCGCUGGCUUCCAUGGUGGAGAUGAGGGUGCAAUGAAGGAGGGCGUGGGGGUGGUGGUGGUAAAAAUGUUUGUCUAGCUAGGAACAGGACUAAGGGUGGUAUGAAGAGGAGUUCUUUUUAAGGUACGAGGAAGGCAUCGUUUUGUAUCUGUCUUAACAUCUCUCUCUCUCUCUCUCUCUAUCUUUCGCACCUAUUAGGUGUCCACAUUAAGAGGACGCUGUUGGUUGCAGAGUCUCCAUUGCCUUGAAGCAAAGCUUCGUCUAUUCAACCACCAUGUACAUUCUCUUUCCUGGCUUUUCUUGACACACUUUUUUUUAUUUAUUUAUGUUUAUUUCCGGGGUUGAAAUGGUCUUGUUGGGGAAAAUUUUGAUGUUACAUUUGUUGGCUACUUGUCUUCUUACCAAACUGGAUUCAAUUUCCGAAUUAUUUACCAUUGAUUCAGCAAUCUUGAUCCUGAAGUGGACGUUGCAUAAGCAGAAUUCACACGUUAUUAUCUCUGGUAUUCACUCCGGGUAAUUACAAGUAUAAUAACGUAAACAUAGAAUUGCCUGAGCAUUUGCAAAUCGGAUGUUGUUCAUAGCAUUCAUGAUCCUUUAAACAUUAGUCGUCUCUUCAAAUAUGAUUAGCAAGAUAAUUAUGGAUGUCAAGAAUAAUUAGGAGCAGCAUUUCAAGUUUUUUUAACUGAAAAGUCAAAAUUAAGUAAUGUAAAUACAUGUAAAUGUUGAAAAAAAAUAACCACUGCAUUAUCUGAAGAAGUUGAGGGAGGGGCAAAUUAAUUUGUAGAGCCAAGUCCAUCUUUCAAGCCUUUUUAGUUUGGCCAUUACUUCAUAGUAGGUAUAGUGAAAUCAUGCUGAAUUGCUAUGCCUGCACAAAAGAUCCCUUACCAAAUUUCUUAGUGAUUGAGAGCUUUCACGUGCCACAGUAGCUAAUUGUUCAUAUAAUCCAUUGCCCCCUCUAUGAAUCUUGUUGCCGAAUAUAAAGCAAUUAUUUCAUUAGCUUAUACAUGAUCAAAUAAAUCGAGUAGAAUUUAUUUCAGGUCUCAACCCAAAUUAACAUUCUUUUACUUGAAGAGUUUAUUGGGCAAGAAGCAAAAAAUCAAACUUUCAGUUUCGAGCAAUACUUGGUUUAGUUUUCAGAGUGGCAUUAAGCUUAAAUAUAGUACGAGGACAUUUCCCUGUAACAUUAAAACCUAAAAUGACAAUAAUGUUUCAAGGCCGCAAUGCAGAAUUAAUCCUUAAUAACUGGAAGGUGAAGCGUUGCAGGGAAAUGCAUGCGAAUGCUUGGAUUUGAAGAACUUGCAAAGAAAGUCAUGCACCAGUACACUGCAGAAAAAAGUUGGUUUUGUCAGUUGGCAACUCCACAUCUGGAAAGAAGAGUUUCUCCUAGUCUGUUGAAUCAGGUAGGCUGUUUAGUUCCACACACACCCGGGGAUUUUCCUUGGAGCCAAGUUUAAUGCCAAGAGACCCCUCAUCGACAUUUGGAUCAUCAGAACUUUGAAAGACCAUAAAUAGGAGAAAUUUCCUUGUCAUCAUCAGAUUUAAGAGUCGCUAGAUUGCUUUACCGUUAAGGCUGGAAUUGCAGUCGCUAUUUAAACAAUUCAGAAUGCAAAAGCAAAUCGUAGCUUCAAAAUCUUGAGUUUUUGAUACAUAUAAUUGCACAGCAAGACUUAACACGGAAGUUUUCUUUAAAGCUAGCAUCAAAAGGAGAUGAAAAGGAAAACAUUGGCUACAAGAAAAAGCUUAGAAUAACCAUCAUAUAGAAAGACGCCAGAGAAAAAAUUCAAAGGGUUGCUAUUGAAAAUGCAGCAAAGCUAUUUACUCAUAACAGUAUAUAUCACUACUUCUAUACAAAGAACAAUAAAUCCUAGUGAGAUUCCUGAUAUCAGCUGUAUACAAACGCGCAUGCUACUAGCUAACUUCCUGUCUCAAGGAUCAUCACAUCUGGAAUAAGGCUAGACACUGGCUGAGACUUCAGUUGCCACUGACUUAUCCUUUUUCUUUUGCUCUUCCUGAGCUUUCU